Molecule: long non-coding RNA, 80062 nt
Filed under: Vitis vinifera (wine grape)
Lineage: Eukaryota; Viridiplantae; Streptophyta; Magnoliopsida; Vitales; Vitaceae
Description: long non-coding RNA (VVIN_LNC000272)
Source: RNAcentral
GAGAGAUUAAGGUAUCUCAACCUUUCAAAUGAGCCCAAGAAAUUUGGAAUUGGAAUUCCUUGAAAAUCAUUAAAACUUAGGUCCAAGUAAUUUAAAUGUUUCAAGUCAAGUAAGGAAUCACUUAUCUCACCACCCAAACGUGAGAAGGCACCACCAGAUUUGAGGUCAACCUUAACAACAUGCCCUGUUUGGUUGUUGCAAUCCACACCUUUCCACUUGCAGCAAUCUGCACCAACCCAGGAAGAAAGCCUACCUGAAGGAUCUUUCAGUCCAUGUUUGAAUUCAAGAAGCGCUUUCCGCUCUACCUCAAUGCAGCCCUUGUUCAUACCACCAUCAAUGGAAUUGAUAAUAGUAGCUUGAGCUAGGAGAAGCUCGAGAAACAGAGAAAGGAGAAAAAGAGUAAGAAGUAGAAGGGUGGUUUUCCAACUUGCCAUUUGAUGAAUGCAAAGUUGCAAAGUUGUUAGUGGGUGCUAUAUAAAUAAUUUAGUCAACUAUUUUAAGUCUUUUGGCCGCCAUAAAUAUAGAAGAAAUUAUCAAGUUCAAUCACAAUCGGAUCACAUAUCUCUUCUGUCCCUGAGUAAAUUAAUUCAAGACAUUAAUUACCAAGUUUUUGGUCCAAAGAAAAAAAGAAUUUUUUUUAUUCCUAAUUUACACUCAUCUAAUUAUUAACUAUAAUAAAAAAUUUCAAUUAAUUAAAAAAAUAAAAUUUAGAUUUUAAUAUUUUUCCCAAAUUAAAAUUUCAAAAAUUAAUAAAUUAAUCUCAACUAUGUUAUUCAUAAAUCCCAAGAUAGGUUACAUAAAAAUAAGUUUUAACUAAUAAAAUUUCUAACAUUUUAUUAACUACCAAGUAUAAUUAGAAAUCCUAAUUAUUAUGUAAUUAUCAAUUUUCUACUAAUUAUAUAAUUAAUUAUUAUGAAAUUUUAUUAUACUAAUAAAUUAUGAUAUUUCGGUAUAUUUUAAAAUAUAUUAAAUUACCAUUUUUAAAUUAUUAAUUUUAAAAUCAAAAUAAAAAAUAUAAUAACUAUUUUUUAGAUAUUUUUAAUAUGUAAACAUAAAUAAGUAUAACAUUUCAAACAUUAAUAAAAACAAGUAGUUUAACACUUAACAAUAUUUAUAUAAUAAUAAGAAAUAAAUAAUCUAAACGCUUAAUCAGUCUACUAUAUUUAAGUCAAAGUUACGUCUAUUCAAAUUUCAAACAAAAAAUAAUUAAAUACCACAUUACACUUACUAUGCAUUACUUAAGCCAUUUAUAUAUGUAAUAAAGAAUUUUUAAAUAAUUUUCAUGAUAUUUUAUUUUCGUUUAGAGGAGAAAGUUUCAAGUAGCUUUCUUCAAUUAUUUAAAGUUAGUGACUGUCCAUAGAAGAAAAUUUUGACAUGAAUCUAAAAAGAAAAACAAUUUUCACACAAGUCUAAAAAUAUAUUUUAGAGAAAAUUAAUACAUCAUGUGUUAAAACAUUAUUUGAAUUUCUUCUCCUCUUGAUUGUUUUCUUAGACAAUGACUUCAAAGACUUUUGUGACAUGUUGACUGAAACAAAGUCCUUGUCUAUUUGGUUUGAGUUAGGAAAAAAAAGGGAAGUUGCAUUUUUUUUUUAAUGAAAAAUUUUAUUUUUUCUAAAUAAAAAAAUUCUUUCUUUUUUUAAAAUAAAAAAUUUCCUUAUCUAACCAAACCAAUUUUAACCAAUUCAUUGUAGCCUAAUUAGUUUAGUUUUUCAUUUAAAGACGUUUGGUUUAGCUUGCAAAAAAAAAAAAAAAUACAAAACAAAACAAAAAACAAAAACAUGGUUAAAUAAGUGGUAUUUAUUUUUUUGUUUAAAAUCUGAAUGGAAUAUUAUUAAGCAUUUAGUUCAUUUAUUUUUUUUAUUAAUGCUAAAUAUUUUUAAGUGUUAAAUUGCUUGUUUUUAGUAAUGUAUAAAGGCUUAAACUUAUUUAUUUUUACACAUUAAAAAUAACUAUAAAAUUAGUUAUUAUUAUUAUUAUUAUUUUCAAAUUAAUAAUUUAAGAAAUAGUAAUUUAAUAUAUUUACAACUAUCUCAAAAUAUUAUAAUUCAUUACCAUACAAAAAUUAUAUAAUAAUUAAUUAUGUAAUUAUAGAAAAUUAAUAAUUAGAUAAUUAUUAGGAUUUUUAGUUAUGCUUGGUUGUUAAGAAAAUGUUAAAAAUUUUCUAAGUUAAAAUUUAUUUUUAUAUAAUAUAUUUUCAGAUUUAUGAAUAUUGUUGAGAUUAAUUAUUAAUUUUUUUCUUUUAAAUUUGGGAAAAAUAAGAAAGACUAAAAUUUUAGUUUUCAAAAUUAAUUGGAAUUUUUUAUUCUAAUGAAUAAUCAGAUAAGUGUAAAUUCAAGGACAUGAACACCCCAAUUUUUUUAUAAUGACUAAUUAUGCAAAGUGUAGAAAAAUAAUAAUUAGAUAAUUAUUAGGAUUUCUAAUUAUGCUUGGUUGUUAAAAAAUUUAUAUGUUAAAACUUAUUUUUAUAUAACUCUCUUCAAAUUUAUGAAUAUUGUUGAAAUUAAUUUAUUAAUUUUUAUUUUUAAUUUGGGAAAAAUGUAAAAAUCUAAAUUUUAUUUUUUAAAUUAAUUGGAUUUUUUUUAUUCUAGUGAAUUAUUAAAUGAGGGUAAAUUAGAAAUCUAAGUUCAAGGACAUUAGCCAACCAAACUGACCUCAAACCUAACCAAUCCAAUCUUAUUACUUUUUAUUUCCAUUUAAAGAUGUUUGUUUCUAUUAAAAAAAAAUGAUUACAUUGGUUUAGUGUUCAUGAACCAAUCAAAGCUAAACCAACCAAAUUUAUCUAUUAUUUAUCAAAAAAAUAAAAAUAAAAACGAUUACAUUGGUUUGGUAUUCAUUUCAAAACAACGAACCAAUAGAAACCGAUCUAAUCGAACCUAUCUAUUAUAUAUUUGACUUAAAGGGUGCAAGUUAUUUUUCGACUUCAUAUUUUGCUUCUCAUAAUUUACUAUAAAUUUAUGAAUUUAUUUUUUAGUUGUCAUAUUUUUUAAAAAUAUUUUAUUUUUUCAAAAUAAAUUCACUAAAUAUUAUCUCACAUGUAUUUGUGGUUCACUAAAUUUUUUAUAAUCAAAUUAAUAAAUUUAUAAAAGAAAAAUAUUAUAUUUUCUCCAUUUUGUUCACUUGAUAAACAUAUCUACAAAAAUGUCAAACGGAUGUUUGAAAUUUACCUCUUUUUUUUGUUGUGUAAUAUUUGGUUGAUUGUAUUUAUAAAGCAUUAUAAAUCCCAAGAAAGUACAUAAAGUCCUAAAUUAUUAUGAAUGAAAUAAAAUUAUUAAUUUAAAUUUAUUCUUUAUAUUAAAAAGUUCAAAUAGGUUAAAUGAAUUUGAAGUAAUUUAUAAAAAUAAUUUAUUAAUUUUAAAUCUAUGUUGUAUUUUCCUUUCUUUUCUUUCCUUUUAUUUUUUUAUUUUUUGUAUUUUUUUUUCUUGUAUUUCCCCCAAAUUUUGUCCAAACCAAACAUAAACUUAAAAAAUAUGUCAAACCAAUACUAGUGUUUGAGACUUAGAAAUUUUUUUAAAAGGAUUGGAUCAAGAUUCAAUCACAAUUAGACCACACAUAGCCCUUUUACCCAUAAGUAAAUUAAUUUAAGAUAUUUUAUUUAUUAAGAUAAUUAUCAAGUUUUUGAAACAUGAAGUUGUUGAACAUCCAAGAAAAAGAAAAAAGUAUUUUAUUUAUUUUUUUGUCUGACACACAGACUAAGAACUUUUCUUCAAUUAAAAGUCAAAAUGCCACAAAAUUCCUUGAAGUCAUUGUCUAAGGAGAACAAUUACCAAGAAAAGAAAUUCAAAGAAUGCUUUAAUGAAUGGUGUAUAUAUUUUCUCUAAAAUGCAUUUUUAGACUCCUACUACAAUUUUUUCUUGUGGGAAAAAAUAAAAAAUAAAGCUUUAUUUUUUUGCCUAACUCACACGCAAUAGAUUAAGGCCUUUGUUUUAGUCAAGAGUCAACAUAACACAAAAGUUCUUGAAGUCCUUAUCUAAGAAAAAUAAUCACAUUAUAAUAAAUAAUAUUUUAGGUUAUAUUUGGUUCGAAAAAUAGAAAAAAAAAAUGUAAGGAAAAAUAAAUUUUUCAUAUUUAAUUGUCUUAUGAAAAAUAUCAAAGAAAAUCACAUAUAAUUAAAAUUAAUUAAAAACUUAUGUAAUUUUAAAUUAUUUAAUCUUUAUAUUGAUGAAUUAAAAUAAAUAAAAUGAGUUUGAAGUAAUAAAAAAAAUAAUUUAUCAAUUUUUAGUCUAUUUUAUUUUUCUUCUAUUUUUUUUUUUGCAUUUUUUUUCCUUUGUAUUUUUUUUCAAAUUUUCUGAGAACCAAACAUAGCCUUAGUAUAUAUUUUCUCCAAAAAACAUUUCUAGACUUCUAUAUUUUUCUCUUAUGAACCACUAACUAAUGUCAAUUAAUCGAUGAAAGCAACGUGAAUGAUGAAAAUUCUUCCUACUCCAUGUUAAGCGAUAUGGCCAAUAAAGGAAAAUAAAAUAUCAUAAAAAUUAUUUAAAUAUAUAUAUAUUUAAUUCUUUAUUAUUAUUAUUAUUAUUAUUAUUCUACAUAAAGGGUUAGAAAACUACAUAACAAGUCUAUGCCUUUUGAAAAAAUGUUUAUUAUUAUUACAAAAUAAACAUUUUGUGACGAUUGAUUAUGUAAUAGGUUAACAUUUAUUUUUAUGUAAUGUAUCUUUUGAUUUAUGAAUUUUUAAUUGAAAUUUAUUUUUGUAAUGUAUCUUUUGAUCUAUGAAUUUGUAAUUGAAAUUUAAUUUUCAUAUCUGGUGGCAGUGCCAGUCACAAAACAAAAAAGUGAUGAAGACCUUUCGGCCCUUCAUGGGCCAUGUAUCACAAGCGUAUGAGCCAAUCAUGGACCCCAUCGUGUCCUCAACUUUAACCGUGGCUAUAAAUCUAAAUACUGAUGUAGAACCCUAUCUGAAAAUGGUCCAUUCAAUAGGCAUUAGGCACCUACCACAAGAAAAUUAAUGAAAACAAAAAAUGAGGCUUCAUUUUUUUUGCUUAACUCACACGCAAUAGACUAGUGACUUUGUUUUAGUCAAGAGUCAACAUGUCAGAAAAGUCUUUAAAGUCAUUGUCUAAGGAAAAUAAUCACAAAAUAAUAAAUAAUACUUUAAUAUAAGAUGUAUAUAUUUUCUUCAAAAGGCAUUUCUACACUUCUACAAUUUUCUCGGACCACUUAACAACUUCAAUUAAUUGAAGAAAGUAUUAUUAUUAUUAUUAUUAUUAUAAAGGGUUGAAAAAAUGCAUAACAAGUCUAUGUGGUAUUUAUUUAUUUAUUUUUGUCUAAAAUCUAAAUAAACCUAAAUUAUUAUUUUUUUAUUUUAAUUCUAAAAUUAAUAAGUUAAGAAAUAGUGAUUUAAUAUAUUUACAAAUAUAUCAAAAUUCUUAAUUUAUUACCAUAAUAAAAAAUUUCUAACAAUUAAUUAUGUAAUUGGUAGAAAAUUUAUAAUUAGAUAAUGAUUAGGAUUUUUAUUUAUGUUUGGUUGUUAAGAAACUAUUAGAAGUUUUCUAAGCUAAAACUUAUUUUUAUGUAAUGUAUUUUAUGAUUUGGUGUUGAGAUUAAUUUGUUAACUUUUUAUUUUUAAUUUGGGAAAAAAUUAAAUAUUAAUUUUGGAAAUUAAACAGUGGAUAAUAUAAUGAUAGAAUAAUAUUUUCUCCAUUGUGUUUGUUUAAUAGGUAGAUUCACAGAAUAUAUGAGACUUGUAUUUGAUAUUUACCAAUUUUUUCAAAUGAUUGGAUUAAGGUUCAGUCAUGAUUGGAUGAUAUAUAUUGCAUACUCUUCUAUUUAUGACUAAAUCAAAUGAAUGAUAAAAAUUACCAAGUUUUUCAAACAUCAAGCCAUCAUAAAAAAAAAAAUUAUUUUUUAUUUUUUUAAUUUAUUGGAUUUUUUUAUUCUAGUUAAUUAUUAAAUGAGGGUAAAUUAGAAAUCUAAGUUCAAGGACAUUAGUUAACCAAACUGACUUCAAACCUAACCAAUCCAAUCUUAUUACUUUUUAUUUCAAUUUAAAGAUGUUUGUUUCUAUUUAAAAAAAAAAAAAAAAGAUUACAUUGGUUUAGUGUUCAUGAGCCAAUCAAAGCUAAACCAACCGAAUUUAUCUAUUAGUUAUCAAAAAAAUAAAAAAAUAAACGAUUACAUUGGUUCGGUAUUCAUUUCAAAACAACGAACCAAUAGAAACUGAUAUAAUCGAACUUAUCUAUUAUAUAUUCGACUUAAAAGGUGCAAAAUUUGAAGUUAUUUUUCGACUUCAUAUUUUGUUUCUCAUAAUUUACUAUAAAUUUAUGAAGUUAUUUUUUAGUUGUCAUAUUUUUUAAAAAUAUUUUAUUUUUUCAAAAUAAAUUCACUAAAUAUUAUCUCACAUACAUUUGUGGUUCACUAAAUUUUUAAUAAUCAAAUUAAUAAAUUUGUAAAAGAAAAAUAUUAUAUUUUCUCUCCAUUUUGUUCACUUGAUAAACAUAUCUACAAAAAUGUCAAGCGGAUGUUUGAAAUUUACCUCUUUUUUUUGUUGUGUAAUAUUUGGUUGAUUGUAUUUAUAAAGCAUUAUAAAUCCCAAGAAAGUACACAAGUCCUAAAUUAUUAUGAAUGAAAUAAAAUUAUUAAUUUAAAUUUAGUUUUUAUAUUAAAAAGUUAAAAUAAGUGCAAUAAGUUUAAAAUAGUUUAUAAAAAUAAUUUAUUCACUUUAAAUCUAAGUUAUAUUUUCUUUUAUUUUUCUUUUUUUUAUAUAUAUAUUUUUUCCUUUGCAUUUCCCCCAAAUUUUGUCCAAACCAAACAUAAACUUGGAAACUAGUGUUUGAGACUUAGAAAUUUUUUUAAAAGGAUUGGAUCAAGAUUCAAUCACGAUUAGAUCACACAUAGCCCUUUUGCCCAUAAGUAAAUUAAUUUAAGAUAUUUUAUUUAUUAAGAUAAUUAUCAAGUUUUUGAAACAUGAAGUUGUUGUACAUCCAAGAAAAAGAAAAAAAAUAUUUUAUUUAUUUAUUUUGUCAGACACACAUAGACUAAGAACUUUUCUUCCAUUAAAAGUCAAGCUGCCACAAAAGUCCUUAGUCAUUGUCUAAGGAGAAUAAUUACCAAGAAAAGAAAUUCAAAUAAUGCUUUAAUGAAUGGUGUAUAUAUUUUCUCUAAAAUGCGACAAUGAGUAACGUCAAUUAAUCGAUGAAAGCGACGUGAAUGAUGAAAAUUCUUCCUACUUCAUGUUAAGCGAUAUGACCAAUAAAGGAAAAUAAAAUAUCAUAUAUAUAUAUAUAUAUAUAUAAUCAAUUCUUUAUUAUUAUUAUUAUUAUUAUUAUUAUACAUAAAGGGUUGGAAAACUGCAUAACAAGUCUAUGCCUUUUAGAAAAAUGUUUAUUAUUAUUACAAAUUAAACAUUGCAUAUGACCUUGUCCUGGGUGUCUAUGGUAUCAGAGCCAUCAGGAGGGGAAGUUGGGUUUGUUUUGGCCUAUCCUAGGAUAGGUAGCAGUGUGCCUAGGAGCGCGAGCCCUGCCAGUUGAGCCGUUGUUAGCCGUGGAUAGGCGUUUGUUAGGCUGUAAGAGGGUUGGGGUGACGUCUCAUAAGGUUUGUCCAUCUGCUAUUAGGCUCUAGAUCAAAACCCUAAAAUGAAUUCAAUUUUCAGAACCAUGUCUAGGAGAUCCAGUGAUUCUUAAGAUACUGUUGUAAACAGUGAAGAGAUCAAUUAUCCUAAGAUCCAAAAUGAUUUAGAUGAUUGGAAGUUACCCAAGGUGUCUAAUCAAGAAAUUUAUAAGAAAUGAACCUUUAAGUUCUUCACAGAUUAUACCAUCAAGACCUCUGAAAUGUCAGUCAGCUUAGAACAAGACGACCAAGUCAUAAGACUUCUAGAUAACAGAUCCGUUGAAAAGCAUAAGAAAGAUGGCUAUAAUUUCAUACACUUUGGUAUGAUUCAAGUAGCAGCUAAGCCUUUGACAAGAUUAGGUUUAAACACCUCUAUUGUCAUGUGUUUAAGGGAUAAUAGGCAUCUCGAAUAUCGAGAUUCUAUUAUAGGCGCAGUCCAAGCUGGACUGAAUGAUGGCCCAGUUUAUUUCCAGUGCUAUCCUAACUUCACAGUUAGAAUAAGAGAUGCAGACAUCUUAGAUUCCGUUGUCCUGCAUAUUAAGACCCAUGGCUUUAAGAUCAAACCAGGAAACAAUCCUGUUUCAAUCAUAACCAGGUUUGCCUAUAAGAGCAUGAACACAAGCGUUGGAUCUGGGGCUCUUUGCACCAGUCCUAAAGGUGAGACCACUUACUUUCACUCAGAUAUGCUAGAUAAGUCAGAUUUCAUCAUCUCCAAGAAGAUCUUGUGGAAAGAUGUUGAGUUUCCUGAAAAUUGGCAUUUUGCUAAUGCUGUUCCAGCCAUUGCACAGCGAUCUGAAAGUAUUGAACAAAUUGUUCAAUAUCCAGAUGGAGGAGGAGAACUAGUUUUCUCCAACUCCUUCAGACAUUCCAGUAGUCCUAGAGUUUCAGUUUAUGAACCCUCUAGAGCUUCAAGCUCUUCUUUCCCAGUUAGAACCACUAGGGAAGAAGAAGGAUCCAGCUCAGGAAAUCCUAAGAACAUUAAGCUAACAGGUGUUAGAAGUCACACCAAUGUGGUUAGACCAUUUUACACUGAGGAAAAUGAGUCUACUCAGGAAUCCCAACAGGAUGAGUCCCCUGUAAUGUCUCUUUCCUAUUCCCAGAUGAUUAACACAACAAGCCUAAGUGAUGAGGACUUUAAGAUCAACAAGGAUCUCUUAAGAAAGGACUUCUAUUCUGAAGCCAAUAAGCAAAGAAAUGAUUGGUUCUUUAGCACUGUUCCUAAGGUCAUUAGAACCAUUUACCAAGAAGAAUUUUAUGCCUACUUAAGACAAGAAAAGAAAAAUAUUAAGUUUUUGAUUUGGUUUGAACUCUUCAAACAAGAGGAAUAUCCAGAUUAUCCUUGUAAGCGUAUUAAUAACACCUCUACAAAAACUAAGAUAUGGAAAACCAGUGACAACAUUGUUAUAGAAUCCAUUCAUCCUCCUGAAGCUAAGAUAGAAAAGAAUAUUAAUGGAACCAUAGUCACAGCUUCACCUUUUAAGACUAAGCCAGAGGAUAAAGGAACUGCUAGUGCAAACGAUAUUAGAAGGAUUAUGGAACAAAUCAAUUAUACUAAUAUGUUUCUCAUAACCCUUGGAAAUCAAGUCAACAGAGUUGAGGAGAUUAUUGAAACUCAGGAUCACCUUAAGAAGCCUUUUGUUAAGAAUGAUAAUAAGCCUUUGUUUAAGCCUUUUGAAUUAUCUAAGAAAUUCUAGGAAAAUCCUCAAAUUGAUCAAGCUUUCAUUGAUAGAAUAAGCCAAAAGGUUAAAGAUAAUCUUGUUAUCCCUUAAACACCUCAAACUUUUGCUAUCCCUGAAACACCUCUACCUUCCCAUAGGAGAAUCCUUUUGGUUAAAAGGAAUAUUAGUCCAAAAGCAAAGGAUAAUGGACUAAUUAGGUUAACCAGAGAACCUUCUAUCCAAAACCCUUUUAAGGAUCAUGGUGAUAAACAAGAGAAAAGGAUUAUCCUUAAUACCCUGACUAUUAAAGAUCUUCAAGAAGAAAUAGGGCAGUAUAAGAAGGAUAUUAAGAACCUAAGACAACCUACAAGCUCAGAAUUCCCUAUCCCUCAGGAUUAUAUCAACAGGGUAGGUUUUUACCACAGAAGUCCUAAAAAGGAAGACUUUGAAGAAGUUCUUGAAUCUUCACAAGACAAUAGUGAUAAGAUAAAUGCAUACUUAAAUACUAUUAGUAAAGUUAUCUUCCAAAGGUGGGAAGUCUCCCUUACUAUAGAAUUUAAGAAUAAAUUUAUCCUUGAUAUUAUUGCUUUAAUUGAUUCAGGUGCAGCUUUGAAUUGUCUACAAGAAGGUCUUGUACCUACCCAACUUUAUGAGAAAACUAGGCAAACCCUUUUUGGUGCUAAUGGUAAAAAGCUUAUUAUCAAGUACAAGCUAUCGAAUGCCCAUAUUUGUAACCAAGACAUUUGCAUUAAGAAAACCUUCAUUCUUGUUAAAGAUCUCAAGGAGAAAGCUCUCCUUGGAGUCCCUUUCUUAAGCUCCAUCUUUCCCAUGUGGGUAGAUGAUCAAGGUAUAAGAACUAAGCUUUUAGAUAAGGAAAUUCUGUUUGAAUUUGCCAAUCCACCUGGAGAAAGAAGUAUAAACACCAUAAAAGAUCAGGUGAUUAAGGCUAAGCAAAAUCAUAUUAAUCUCUUAAAACAAGAGAUUGUUUUGGUUAGAAUAGAAAAUCAAUUGAAGGUUAAGAAAACUCAAGAUACCAUAGAAAAUUUUAAGAAUAAAAUUAUUAGGAAAGUAUGUUCUAACAUUCCUAAUGCAUUUUGGCACAGGAAGCAGCAUGAGGUAGAAUUACCUUAUGAGCCUGAUUUUAGUGAGAAAAAUAUUCCCACGAAAGCAAGACCAAUCCAAAUGAAAAAGGAUUUGUUAAGCUAUUGUGAAAAAGAAAUCCAGGAUCUCAUAGAUAUGAAGUUGAUAAGGAAGUCUAAAUCCCCUUGGAGUUGUUUAGCCUUUUAUGUUCAGAAACAAACUGAACUUGAAAGAGGAACACCUAGACUAGUCAUCAACUAUAAGCCCCUCAAUGAUGUUUUAAGAUGGAUCAGGUAUUCUAUCCCAAAUAAAAAAGACCUCCUUCAAAGAUUAGUUAAGUCCAAAGUUUUCUCUAAGUUUGACAUGAAAUCAGGAUUUUGGCAAAUCCAGAUUGCGGAAAAAGAUAAGUACAAAACAACCUUUGUGGUCCCAUUUGGUCAUUAUGAGUGGAAUGUAAUGCCCUUUGGCCUUAAGAAUGCACCUUCUGAGUUUCAAAACAUAAUGAAUGAAAUCUUUAACCAGUUUUCUGAUUUCAUUAUUGUUUACAUUGAUGAUGUUUUGAUUUACUCAGAUUUUAUUGAACAACAUUAGAAACAUCUCAAUAAGUUUGUUAAGACUGUUAAGAGCAAUGGUUUGAGUUUGUCAGCCACUAAGAUUAACCUCUUUCAAACUAAGGUAAGAUUCUUAAGUCAUCAUAUUCACCAAGGAACAUUCACUCCCAUUCAAAGAUCAAUUGAGUUUGCUGAUAAGUUUCCUGAUGAGAUUAAGGAUAAGAAACAAUUGCAACGUUUCUUAGGAAGCCUUAAUUAUGAGUCAGAUUUCAUACAAGAUUUAAGCCAGUUGUGUGCCCCUUUAAGACAAAGACUUAAGAAAAAUCCAGUUCCUUGGAAUGAGGAUCAUACCAAGAUUGUCAAGAUAGUCAAAUCUAGAGUUAAGACCUUACCGUGUCUUGCCCUAGCUGACACUACAACCUUUAAAAUUGUUGAGACUGAUGCUUCAGAUAUAGGAUAUGGUGGUAUUCUUAAACAGAAAAUCGACACUCAAGAAAAGUUGGUUAGGUAUACUUCAGGAACUUGGAAUAAUGCCCAACUCAACUAUAGCACCAUUAAAAAAGAAAUUUUAAGCAUUGUUUUAUGCAUUUCAAAAUUUCAAGAUGAUCUUUUAAAUCAAGAAUUUUUAUUAAGGGUUGAUUGUUUAUCGGCAAAAUCAGUUUUGCAAAAAGAUGUUAAAAAUAUAGCUUCUAAGCAUAUUUUUGCUAGAUAGCAAGCCAUUUUAAGCAAUUUUGAUUUUCAAAUUGAAUAUAUUAAAGGAAAAAAUAACUCAAUCCCUGAUUUCCUAACUCGUGAAUUUUUGUAGGAUUCACAAGAUCAUGGCUCCCAAAAAAGAAAAGCAACCCUUUAAGAAAUCAUCAUCUUACAUGAAACAUCGUUUAGUCUUAUCAAAAAAAUUCAAACCUUUGUAUUAUGAUUAUGAUUCGGGAUCUCAAGGAUCUUCUUCUAAUCCUAUUCCUCCAGUUCUUAAGCAUCCUUCCUCCCCUGUUGUGGAAGAAGGAAAUAUUUCUGGUUCUCUACCUUUAGUGGAAGAACCCAUCCCCUUAGACUCCUCUACUUUUGAUACUAACCCCUUAUCUGUUCAUAAGAGUAUUUGUGAUUUGCAGGCUAGGUGCAGGACCCUUGAAAAAAGGCUAGAAAUAGCUAAUUUUCCUAAAGAAGAUAUAAGCCAAGCCCCUUUUUCCCCACUGGAAAUUGGUGAGAAAAAACCAUUCACCCCACUGGUGGAUGAGAAAUUAAGUAAGGAUGAGCAGGAGUGCAUUAUCUUUAGAAUGUUUCACCAAAGGACUCAGAUCAUGUCCACUCUUAAGCCAGAUGAUAUUUAUCAGCUAAUUUAUGAAAAAGCCAAGACCAGUGCAGAAGAAAAACAAGUUUUUAUUUCGGCCUAUCUUCAGGAUCUGCACAUUUAUCUCUCAGUUAUUCCUGGUCUCAGUGUUCCAGGAUUGAAUUUGAUUAAGGAAAUGGAAUUUGAUGGUUCAAAAAUUUGCAGAAAUUAUAGUGAACCACUUCUUCAUCAACAUGACAACAGGCAAUUUUGCAACUGCAAUAGAAAUUUCACUAUCAGCAGAGCCUGCAUUGAUCUGCAGUAUUACCAGCCAAUUAACCUUGCUUUCAAAGGAGAUGUUUUAAUCCUAACCCCUGAAAAGCUUCUUGAUUAUGGGUUAGUCUACCAACUUAUCUGCUCUGAUCCAUGUCAAGCUAGCAAUUUUGGUAGAAAGGUUAACCUAAGCUUAAUCCAAGGUUUUAAGUUAAACAAGAAGUUUGCUGACGCUAUUUUUAUUAGCAAAGCUCCUGAAUGGAUUUCUAGAGGCAACAUUCUUCCAGCCCAACACUAUGUUAAUCUUCAUUACCAGAAUAGAAGACCUACACUUUUGUCCAGUCCCUUAGUACAAGCCGAUAUUUGCGCAGAGCCAAUUAUUAAGCAAAUCAAGCAUUGGAGAGCCAGAGUCAUCAGCAAAGAUUUUGAAGCCUACCCUAAAAACAUGGGGCAUCUCAUUGCGGCGGAUUCCCUACAUCAGAUAUUUUGCAGUAAAAAGAUUGACCAUUUACCAUUAAAAUCCACUAUUCAAGAUACUCAGCUCCUAAUGGAUCAUCGCUCAAACUAUAUUCCUCCCUGAUCAGCCGUCUUCUCAGCCGAAAGCAAGAUUCGGGGUCAAAAGUCAAAAGUGCUACAGUUCCCUCUUACUGUUCACUUUUACUAUUCAAGCACUAUUCAAGCACGAGUUUACUGUUCAUUAUUACUAUUCAAGAUUCCUUUUUUGCCUAUUUAAGGAGGCUCGGUUCUCAUUUGUAAACACGCUUAAUUUUCUCUCCCAAGCUUAUGCUCUCCCUUCUCUCUUCUUUAUCUCUCAUCAUGUAAGCCCUUCAAGCUUUCAAGCUUUCUCUAAGCUUUCCUACCCUUGUCCAUUGUAAGAUAUUUCUCCUUAUGUAUAAUAUAAAUAUGUUUUGAUUACCUCCUAUAUGGAUGGUUUUUAAUUAAGUUUUGUUUUCAUUUCAUUUUAUGUUCUUAUAAUAUGUUUUGAUUACCUCCUAUAUGGAUGGUUUUUAAUUAAGUUUUGUUUUCAUUUCAUUUUAUGUUCUUAUACCUCCUACAUGGAUGGUUUUAAUUAAGCUUUGAUUUUAAUUUUAUGUUUUUUAUUUUGUACCGCCUACAUGGUCGGUUUUAAGCUUAUCAUGAACUAACAAGUUUUUUGGUUCCUUCUCUUUAAAUUUCUUGUUGGAUAUCUUUUGUAUUUUCUAACCCUCUUCUUUGUUUUGAAUCAUGGCAUAAUUCCUGUUUUCAUUGCAUAUGACCUUGUCCUGGGUGUCUAUGGUAUCAGAGCCAUCGGGAGGGGAAGUUGGGUUUGUUUUGGGUGUUUUGGCCUAUCCUAGGAUAGGUAGUAUUGUGCCUAGGAGCGCGAGCCCUGCCGGUUGAGCCGUUGUUAGCCGUGGAUAGGCGUUUGUUAGGCUGUAAGAGGGUUGAGGUGACGUCUCAUAAGGUUUGUCAAUCUGCUAUUAGGCUCUAGAUCAAAACCCUAAAAUGAGUUCAAUUUUCAGAACCAUGUCUAGAAGAUCCAGUGAUUCUUAAAAUACUGUUGUAAACAGUGAAGAGAUCAAUUAUCCUAAGAUCCAAAAUGAUUUAGAUGAUUAGAAGUUACCCAAGGUGUCUAAUCAAGAAAUUUAUAAGAAAUGAACCUUUAAGUUCUUCACAGAUUAUACCAUCAAGACCUCUGAAAUGUCAGUCAGCUUAGAACAAGACGACCAAGUCAUAAGACUUCUAGAUAACAGAUCCUUUGAAAAGCAUAAGAAAGAUGGCUAUAAUUUCAUACACUUUGGUAUGAUUCAAGUAGCAGCUAAGCCUUUGACAAGAUUAGGUUUAAACACCUCUAUUGUCAUGUGUUUAAGGGAUAAUAGGCAUCUCGAAUAUCGAGAUUCUAUUAUCGACGCAGUCCAAGCUGGACUGAAUGAUGGCCCAGUUUAUUUCCAGUGCUAUCCUAACUUCACAGUUAGAAUAAGAGAUGCAGACAUCUUAGAUUCCGUUGUCCUGCAUAUUAAGACCCAUGGCUUUAAGAUCAAACCAGGAAACAGUCUUGUUUCAAUCAUAACCAGGUUUGCCUAUAAGAGCAUGAACACAAGCGUUGGAUCUGGGGCUCUUUGCACCAGUCCUAAAGGUGAGACCACUUACUUUCACUCAGAUAUGCUAGAUAAAUCAGAUUUCAUCAUCCCCAAGAAGAUCUUGUGGAAAGAUGUUGAGUUUCCUGAAAAUUGGCAUUUUGCUAAUGCUGUUCCAGUCAUUGCACAACGAUCUGAAAGUAUUGAACAAAUUGUUCAAUAUCCAGAUGGAGGAGGAGAACUAGUUUUCUCCAACUCCUUCAGACAUUCCAGCAGCCCUAGAGUUUUUGUUUAUGAACCCUCUAGAGCUUUAAGCUCUUCCAUCCCAGUUAGAACCACUAAGGAAGAAGAAGGUUCCAACUCAGGAAAUCCUAAGAACAUUAAGCUAACAGGUGUUAGAAGUCACACCAACGUGGCUAGACCAUUUUACAUAGAGGAAAAUGAGUCUACUCAGGAAUCCCAACGGGAUGAGUCUCCUGUUAUGUCUCCUACCUAUUCCCAGAUGAUUAACACAAUAAGCUUAAGUGAUGAGGACUUUGAGAUCAACAAGGAUCUCUUAAGAAAGGACUUCUAUUCUGAAGUUAAUAAGCAAAGAAAUGAUUGGUUCUUUAGCACUGUCCCUAAAGUCAUUAGAGCCAUUCACCAAGAAUAAUUCUAUGCCUACUUAGGACAGGAAAAGAAAAAUAUUAAGUUUUGGAUUUGGUUUGAACUCUUCAAACAAGAGGAUUAUCCAGAUUAUCCUUAUAAGCGUGUUAAUAACACUAAGAGCACUGAUAAAAUUAAGUCCUUUGAAUUUUCUAAGAAAUUCCAAGAAUAUCCCCAAAUCAACCAGGCUUUUGUUGAUAGGAUUAAUCAGAAGAUUAAGGAUAAUCUUGUUGCCCCUUUGACUGUUCAGCCUCAAAAGAGAAUCAAUAUGGUUAAAGGUGAUAUUAGUUCAGAAGAAGAAGCUGAUGAACUAAUUAAGAUGUUUGAGGAACCCCAUAAUCAAAUUAUUUCAAAAGAUAUUAACAACUUGGAAGCCUUUAAGACUAGGAAUUACUAUCCUAGGCCUACAUUUCCUGACAUGCAGCUUGAGGAAAGAAAUCAGUAUACUCAAGCCUCAUACACCAGUGGUACUAUCUAUGAAUGGAACAUAGACGGUAUGACCGAGUAUAACAUACUCACUAAGCUUCAAGAAAUGAUCAUGGUAAGUACAGCCUAUAAAUUAAACAAUAGACUACUAGAUCAUGCUGUAGCUCAGACCAUUGUUGUUGGGUUUACAGGUCAGCUUAAGGGUUGGUGGGAUAAUUAUCUCACUUUUGAUGAUAGAAAUAGUAUCCUAAAAGCCUAUAAGAUUAAUGAGAAUAGUGAAGUUGUUAAGGACAAAGAUGGCCAAGAUAUAGAGGAUGCAGUGGCUACUCUAAUCUACUCAAUAUCUAAACACUUCAUUGGAGAUCCUACAAAAAUUAAAGAUAAAACUGCAGAUCUCUUAACCAACCUUAAGUGUCCCAAGCUUCAUGAUUUUAGAUGGUAUAAAGAAUUCUUCCUAACCAAAGUCAUGCUAAGAUCAUAUUGUAACCAGUCUUUUUGGAAAGAAAAAUUCAUCUCAGGAUUACCCAAGCUUUUCUCUGAGAGAAUUAGGAUCAAGAUAAGGGAACAGUAUAAUGGUCAAAUCCCUUAUGAUAAGCUAACUUAUGGUAAGAUUAUAAGCAUUGUCAUAGCUGAAGGGAUUAAGUUGUGCAAUGACUUCAAGCUUAAGCAACAAAUGAAGAAUGAACAAAAAAUCUACAAGAUGAAUUUGGAUCAUUCUGUAGCCAGUUUGGUUUCAGCCAAAAAGAAACUAUGCCUCCCUCUAAGCAAAAACCAAGUAGGAAGCCUAGCAAAGAUAAGUUUUACCACAGUAAGAGAGGUACCCAUGACAACUAUAGGAUGAAUGAUACUAAGCAGUCAAGACACUUCCAAAGAAAGGUCAACAAAGAUACCCAAAAAAAGGUAGAAACUCCUUUAGAUGUCAAGCCAAUUAUCUGUUUUAAAUGUGGCAAAAUUGGCCAUUAUAAAAAAGAUUGUAGAGUUAAGCAAAAAAUUAAUAACUUAAGUGUCUUAGAUGACCUAAAAAAUAUGCUUUGUAAGGUAAUGUUAAACUCCACAGACUCUGAAUCAAGGACUGAUUCAGAUAAUGAAGAUGACAUUAAUCAACUAGACAGUAGUGGUGAAGUUUCUAGCCAAUCUUCUAGUGACCAAGCAUAAUGUAUUAAAGGUAAUUGUAAUUGUCGUCCUAAAACUAUAAAUGUCAUAAGACAAGAUCAGGAAUUUAUCCUAGAUACUUUAAGAAAAGUUGAAGAUGAAAAGACUAAGCAAAAUCUUUAUGAAGUUUUUAAGAAAUCUGUUGUUAAAGUAGAAGCCAAGAAGACUGUUAAUCCUUAUAACCUUAAUGAUAUCUUAAACAGGUUUGACCAACAGUCUCCCAAGGAAGUCAGCAUUAGGGAACUUCAUGAAGAAGUUAAGCAGUAUAAAAAAAGGAGAUUAAGGAGUUAAGACAAUUCAUAAGUUUAGGUCUCUCUGAUCUCCAAGAACAAAUCAAUAGAAUUGUCAACCAAGGAAACCUUAUGGAUAUUCCAGAAUCUUCUUAUGUUAAUGAUAAUGAGACAGAUACUUUUUUUUAAUAUUGUGAGUAGGGUUAUCUUCCAAAGGUGGGAAGUCUCCCUUACUAUAGUAGUCAAAGAUAAAUUUGUCUUUGAUAUUAUUGCUUUGAUUGAUUCAGGAGCAGCUGAAAAUUGCCUUCAAGAAGGUCUUGUACCUAUUCCUUUAUGCGAAAAGACUAGUCAGUCUCUAUUUGGAGCCAAUGGCAAAAGACUUGCCAUUAAGUAUAAAUUAACAUAUGUUCAUAUCCGUAACCAUGACAUCUGUAUUAAGCAAACCUUUAUCCUUGUUAAGGAUCUUAAAGAAAAAGUCCUCCUAGGAAUACCCUUCUUAAGCUCUAUUUAUCCCUUAUGAGUAGAUAACCAAGGUUCAGAAAAUUCAGCAAUAUGGGCUUGGCAUUCUCCACCUGCCAUAUCUAUAAGAUUCUUACUGUCAAGCAAUGGGGUGGAAAUCCUAAUUUUUCAAGGGAAUUUUCUGAACCAUCGAAGCCAAGGUUUUUUAAUUAUUGGGAUUAUCAGAGAGCAUGGUUUAAUGCUUUUCUGAUCCAGAAUAAGGAUUUCCAUCAUUCAUGGAUGUUCUAUUUUCCAUCUAAGAAUCAGCUUUCCUCUUUCCCAUUUUGGUUCUACAGUUGGUGGACUUAUUAUGGUCCGACUAUUAAGAUUCUUCCUAAGCCCAUCCUGGAUGGUUUUGAGCUAUUCAGAAGUUCUUUUGAUAUCCCCAGAGAACUUUCAGCUUUUCCCUCUUUACUACUCUUUUUCAGCAAUUUUGGCCUUGCUUGGAUAGUCCAGUGGGACUAUAUUAUCAUUACAGACGAAUCAGCAGCCUUUCCAUCUCUGGGAAGGACUUUUAAAACUAAAUGGUGGGAUGCCUUGAAAAAUGAUGCAUCUAUUGAUGCAGUCAAGCAGUAUUUCCUCAAGAACCCCACACAAGUCUCAACCAGUGAUGAUAUGUCUCAGUUUCUCCUCAAAAAGCAACAAUUACAAGCCAUGCUCGCAGCAGCUAAGACCCCUCAAGAUUUCCAGAAAAUCCUUGAAGAAGGAAGCUCAAGCUUCUCCCAAGAAAAUUCUUAUGCAGAGUCUGAUGAUUCAACAAGCUACCUUCCAGACAAUUGUGAUGACUGUGAAGGAAUCCUUCCUCCAAUAAGAAGAUCUAAGUAAGCAUCAGCCUUAUGUCUUCCAUCAAGAAUAUUUCAAGCUUUGCAGUUUCUGCACCAAAAGCAGCAAACAUGUGUCUACACAGUUUAAAUAAGCCUGUCAGAAGUCAUUUCAGCCGAAAGCAAGAUUUCGGGUCAAAAGUCAAAAGUGCUACAGUUCUCUCUUACUGUUCACUUUUACUAUUCAAGCACUAUUCAAGCACGGGUCUACUGUUCAUUAUUACUAUUCAAGAUUCCUUUUUGCCUAUUUAAGAAGGCUCGGUCCUCAUUUGUAAGCACGCUUAAUUUUCUCUCCCAAGCUUAUGCUCUCCCUUCUCUCUUCUUUCUCUCUCAUCAUGUAAGCCCUUCAAGCUUUCAAGCUUUCUCCAAGCUUUCCUACCCUUGUCCAUUGUAAGAUAUUUCUCCUUAUGUAUAAUAUAAAUAUGUUUUGAUUACCUCCUAUAUGGAUGGUUUUUAAUUAAGUUUUGUUUUCAUUUCAUUUUAUGUUCUUAUACCUCCUACAUGGAUGGUUUUAAUUAAGCUUUGAUUUUAAUUUUAUGUUUUUUAUUUUGUACCGCCUACAUGGUCGGUUUUAAGCUUAUCAUGAACUAACAAGUUUUUUGGUUCCUUCUCUUUAAAUUUCUUGUUGGAUAUCUUUUGUAUUUUCUAACCCUCUUCUUUGUUUUGAAUCAUGGCAUAAUUCCUGUUUUCAUUGCAUAUGACCUUGUCCUGGGUGUCUAUGGUAUCAGGAAAGCAUAAUUCAAAACACCAUAGACACCAUAGACAAGGUCAUAUGCAUAAGCUAUGGUCCUGUUUUCACUUUUUUUUUUUUGUCUAAAAUGUAAAUAAAUCUAAAUUAUUAUUUUUUAUUUUAAUUCUAAAAUAAUAAUUUAAGAAAUAGUAACUUAAUAUAUUUACAAAUAUAUACAAAAAUUUAAUUUAUUACCAUAAUAAAUAUUUUCUAACAAUUAAUUAUGUAAUUAGUAGAAAAUUUAUAAUUAGAUAAUGAUUAGGAUUUUUAUUUAUGUUUGGUUGUUAAGAAACUAUUAGAAUUUUUCUAAGCUAAAACUUAUUUUUAUGAAAUGUAUUUUCCGAUUUAUGAAUAUUGUUGAGAUUAAUUUCAACAUUUUUUUUAUUUUUUAUUUUUUACUCUUCAUAUGGAUAAUAGAAAGUGGAUUUGUGAUGCUUUCUUGGAUUUAUAGCAAUUAAAACGUAUUUCUUGAAUAUACAAUUUAAAAGUUCAAUUGUUAAAAUAAAGUUAUUUCUCGAAGAGAUUUUCUAUUUUACUUUAGUUAGUUUUGGAUUAGAAAUUAUACCUUUUAAUUUAUGCUCUCAUUAUUAUUCUAAAUCUAUUUGAGGUAAAUAUCAACUAGCUAGAUGUUGGAUUUGUUAGAUAAGGUCAUUCAUGUGUUCAACUCUCAAGUUUGAUAUAUAAAAUCACCAUAGUACCCUUCACCUCUGUGUCAAGGUAUCAUAGUAUUAAACUUUUAAAAAACAGUUUAAACUUGAUGCAUUGGAACGGUAUGAUCAUUAUUGUUGAAUGAAUCUAUCAUUUUUUAUUGAGUUAAUUUAGAAUUUUUACUAUUUUUGUUUUAGUUAGAACUUUUAGACUAUAUUUGAUUCCUGGAAACUUGAAGGGAAAAUAUAAGGGAAUAAAAUAGAGAAGAAAAAUAUAAGGAAAAAAAAAGAUUUAAAAUCACUCAUUUUAACUCCUUAUGUAAAUACUAAAUAAUUUUUAAGGGGUUGCUAUUCGCAACAUCUCUUUUGCUAACGUAACACUUUUUUGUUAUGUUUUUUUUUUUCAUAUAUACCUUUUUUAAUAAAGAAUUCUCUCUAACCUCCUCUCAACAUAUUAAACAUAAAUUCUAGUUGAUUAAGGGUACGAAAUAUAAUGAAUAACAAAAUUCAAUCAUCUUAUGACAAUUUUCAGAUAAGAUUUAUAACUUUCAUUUUUUUUUAUAAAGAAAUAUAUUGUUUUGACAUUUUUUUAGACUCUUGAUUACAUACUUUGUUUUAUGAGUCUUUACUUUGCGUACACAAAUAAUUAUUACAUUACUCAUAUUCUUAAUCAAUCUUUAGUUAUAUGCAAUAUUUUUGUUUAGGUUACAAAAAAAAUCAUAUUGAACACAAUAAAAAAAAUAUUUUUUAAAAAACCAUUCUAAUUAAAUAUUGUUUAUUUUAAAAUUUUAAUAAUAAUUUUUAUUUAAAAAAAUUGAGUUAUGAAUUUCACAUUAAAACAUUGAAUAUAAUAAAAUCAUUUUACAUAAUAUACUUUUGGUGAAAAAUAAUUUCAUAAUUUAUUAUUUAAAGAAAUUAUUUUGUUUUAAAAUAUAAGAAGAAUAUGAAAAACAAUUGAGUGUGAAAAAUAAAAGAAAUGAAAAGAAAAAAAACACAAAGUUUACGUGGGGUGGGAGGUUGAGUAGGUAGAGAUGAAAAGGAAGAUAAAAAUAAAAGAAAAAGAAUGCUAAAAUGUGGGUAGGGAUUGGGAAAAAGAAAAGAAAAGAAAAUAAAAAUAAAAAAGGGGUGCAAUUGGGACGUGAGGUUGGGGAGGAGAGAGAGGAGAGGAGAGGAGAGAGAGGUGGAAGGAAUAAGGAAGGGUAGUUUAGAAAUGUAAAAUGACGUAUUAGUAAAAAUGGUGUUGCGAAUAGCAAUUGAGAUUUUUUAAAUGUAUAAAUUUUUAAUUAAUUUUAAUUAUAUUUGAUUUUUAUUGAUAUUUUCGAUGAUAUAACAAUCCAUAACAUAAUCAUUUUUCCUAUUAUUAUUUUUUCUUUUCUUGGCACUUUCAAGGAAACAAAAAUAAACACCGAGUAAAAUUAUGAUUUUAAAGGUAGCUUAGUUAACAUUGUGUGUACUUUUUGUUGAACUCUUUUUGAAGUGGAAUUUUUGUUAUAAAUUUAUCUAAAUACCUAAAAAAUCUCGUAAGCAACAACAAUUAGGUUUCUGUUACAUCUCAUUUAACAAUUAUUAUAAAGCUAUAAUGACUAGAUUGGGUUAAAUCGUUCACAAUUUGAACCUUUGGUUUCAAAAUUUAAUCAAAGAAAAUUUAGUAACCAAAUGUUUAAAAUUUAGGAAUGAUGAUGGACAGGUUUUGAAACUGUUUCAAAUUUUGAUACAACUAUAAAAAUAGAAGAAAUGAAGACCUUUUAGCAUAUAGAAGAAGUUUCACCAAACUAAUAAUUAACAUAUAAAUAAGUAGGAUGAGUGUUUGAGACACUUCUCUUUUUGUUGGAUUCGGUUCUAGUCCGACUCAAGGUUAAUAUAUUUUUAAUUUCCACUUUGUUCAUUUAUGCAUUGAUUCAAAAAAAUAUGUCAUGUACUAAUGUUAAUUCAAGAUAUUAAUUACCAAGUUUUUGAAACAUGAAGUCAUGGUCCAAAGAAAACGAUACAAUAUUUUAUUUUUUAUUUCUAUUUCUCCAUUCUUUUGCUUAACUCACACGAAAUAGACUAAGGACUUUGUUUUAGUCAAGCAUCAAGAUGUCACAAUCACAAAGAAAAGAAAUUCAAACAAUGCUUUAAUGCAUGUUGUGUAUAUUUUCUCCAAAAAGCAUUUUAGACUCUUGUUAGAAUUUUCUCCUACGGAUUCUUUACUAACUUUAAUUAAUUGAAGAAAGCUAUAUGAAAUUUCCUACUCCAUGUUAAAUAUUAUAGCCUAUAAAGGAAAAUAAAAUAUCAUAAAAAUUAUUUAAAAUUUUAUAUAUAUUCAAAAUUUUUAUCAUAUAUAUAAAGGGUUGGAAAAAUGUAUAACAGGUUAAUGUGGUAUUUAUUUUUGGUCUAAAAUUUGAGUAGAUCUAAGUCUGACUUAAAUCUACUUAUAUUAUUAAGUGUUUAGGUUGUUUACUUUUUAUCAAUGUAUAAAUAUUGUUAAGUGUUAAAUUGCUUUCUUUUAUUAAUGUCUAAAGAGUUACACUUAUUUAUUUCUACAUGUUAAAAAUAUCUAUAAAAUUAAUUAUUAUAUUUUUUCUUAUUUUAAUUUUAAAAUUAACAAUUUAAGAGAUAUUAAUUUAAUAUAUUUAUAAAUAUAAAAAAAUAUUAUAAUUUAUUAUCAUAAUAAAAAUUUUAUAAUGACUAAUUAUGCAAAGUGUAGAAAAAUAACAAUUAGAUAAUUAUUAGGAUUUCUAAUUAUGCUUGGUUGUUAAAAAAUUUCUAUGUUAAAACUUGUUUUUAUGUAACUAUCUUCAAAUUUAUGAAUAUUGUUGAGAUUAAUUUAUUAAUUAUUAUUUUUAAUAUGGGAAAAAUGUAAAAAUCUAAAUUUUAUUUUUUAAAUUAAUUGGAUUUUUUUAUUCAAGCUAAUUACUAAACAAGGGUAAAUUAGAAAUCUAAGUUCAAGGACAUUAGCCAACCAAACUGACUCAAACCUAACGAAUCCAAUCUUAUUACUUUUUAUUUCCAUUUAAAGAUGUUUGUUCUAUUAAAAAAAACGAUUACAUUGGUUCAUUGUUCAUGAACCAAUCAAAACUAAACCAACCAAAUCUAUCUAUUAUAUAUCAAAAAAAAAAAAAAAAAAACCAUUACAUUGGUUUAGUAUUCAUUUCAAAACAAUGAACCAAUAGAACCGAUUCUAAUCGAAAAUAUAUAUUAUAUAUUAGACUUAAAAGAUGCAAAAUUUGAAGUUAUUUUUUGAAGAGACUUCAUAUUUUGCUUCUCACAAUUUACUAUAAAUUUAUGAAAUUAUUUAUUUAGUUGUCAUAUUUUAAAAAAAUAUUUUAUUUUUUCAAAAUAAAUUCACUAAAUAUUGUCUCAUAUGUAUUUUUGGUUCACUAAAUUUUUAAUAAUCAAAUUAAUAAAUUUGUAAAAGAAAAAUAUUAUAUUUUCUCCAUUUUGUUCACUUGAUAAAAAAAUCUACAAAAAUGUCAAGCAAAUGUUUGAAAUUUACCUCUUUUUUUUUGUUAUAUUUGGUUGAUUGUAUUUUUAAAAGCAUUAUAAAUCCCAAGAAAGUAAUAUUUUUUUCUUUACCAUUAUAGUUUCGUAGUGUUUGAACUUAUCUUUACCAUUUUUUUCUUCUUGAUCUAACUACAAGCUUGACUGCACAAACUUGGUCAGCAAUGAGAAUAAAAGUGAGGAGGGUGAUGAAGUUCUCCCUAUACUCUCCUCUCCCUUUUUAACUUUCCACCUUUUAAUUGUAUAUCCCCCCUCAACAGUAUAGUUUUAAGGUAUGUACACUUUAAUCCUGAUGGACUAAAGGCCCAUAAUUCAUCUCAAUGGGUCAACUAAAAUAUUAUGAGGAAGGUGAAGCCAUGGGCCUCUGCACAAUACAUUAAAUUGAUUAUGGCCCAAAACAAUACCCAUGCACAACCAAAUAUAGUUUAUAAUAUACGUAGUCCACAAAAAACAUUUGACAUUAAUGGGUGAAUUUAGGUGAUUAUGCUAGUCCAAGAAACAGUAAAAAGUUUUAUUUGAAAAUUUAUAUAUUUUCAAACUCUUAAUUCCUCUUUAUAAAUGUGGAUAAAGUUAGAGAAGUAAUGAUAAGAAUUAUUAAAAUUUAUUAAUCUUGAAGAGAAGUAUAGAAAAUGGGAAAUUAAUGAGAAUUUUAUUAUUAUCUUUUUUAGUUCCUUUAUUUUAAUUUUUUUUACUUUAUUUUCCUUCAAUGUUGUCUUUCCUAGUAAUAUAAAUGUGGAUUUGGGAAGUACAUAUAUCGUUAUAUGACCCAAAAAUUAUUGGUUAUAGAAUAGUAGAAAUUCCGUAAGAACAAAAUUCACAUACAUUUUAUCUGAAAGUUAAAAUAGUCUUACCAACUGUUAUAUAUCUAUUGGUGUAGUAGAUUUUGAGCUUGUCUUAAAAGCUCUCGCCUUUUGAUGCCCUUAGCAACUACUUCGCAAGCCAAUUUUCCAAACUUGCAACACAAGAUGGUUGGGUGGUCAUCCAGCACACCACCUAUGGUCAAGUCAGUGGAUAACAAGAAAAGAAAGUGUUGAGAGUAGAUGCAAAAAUAAAUAUGGGAAUAUGGGUGAGAGAAUAUGAUAAAUGAAGCUUAUUCUCUCUGCUAGAGCUUGACCGUACCAUCAGUGACCAGGCCUCGAUCAACGACCAGCUCUGAUUCUCUCUUUUCUUCUUCGAAAUACUCGUGUAUUUCAAAUUUGGAGCCGAAAUCUGGUCAAAGAGAAACAAUAACCCGAAAUUCAACCCGGUUGGCCAACCAUUGAUGAAAGGUCUCUAAAGAUUGUAGUCUUCUUCACUUCACAGUGAUGAAAUGCAUAGUCGGGGACGAAAUUGUUACUAGUUUUCAUUUUCCAUUUCUACCAAAACGCAUACAGGAUAUAUAUAUUUAUCAAUUCAUUUAGAACAUGCAUUUAUUCACAUGGAACAUACCUGAAUCCAUUUCUGAAUUUUGGUUGAAGAUGUAUGGAUCUUUUAAGGCCGAGGAAGGUAACCACCGUCACUGGAUUCUCUCUGGCAAUGGGAAGCGAGAGAGAUUAGGGUUAUGUUUUAUUAAAAAAUGUGAUAUAACAAAAUGAACAGACCCUUGACCUUUUAUACCCUCCUGCCUUAGGGAUCAUACCCAUUGGGCUAUAGGGCCUCACGAGUCUUAGGCCCAUUAUCUAAGGCUCGUGAUGGCGUUUGGGCUCUACACAUAGGUGGCCCAUACUCUUGAACGAACAGAAAAAAAAUUGAAGAGGUGAAUAGCUUAGUCAUGAAUUAUUGUGAGAUAUGUGAGUCCAUAUCUUAACAAUCUCCCACUUGGACCACAUAUAUUACAAAACAAUGUUCAUGAUAGUACUUUAUUGAGUUCAUCUUGCUAUUCUAUCUUAAUAUCCUUAAACAAUCCGGUCUACUAAUUAUGUUAACAUAGGAUUAAAGCGGCCUUCGUUAAUCAUAAUUUAACUAGACCCAUCAAUGAUCACAACAUUAACAAAAAUUAGCAACAUGGAUCAAGUAUGGAUGUGUAGCAUGGAAAUUGCAUAGAAUGUGAUCUUUAAUAUGUCUAUUUCCAAUUGGUCCUACUUUAUGACUAAAAAUAGUCAAAUUCCACUUUCAACACUUGAUGCUAAACUACUUUUGAAAGUCAUCAUUUUAAUUCAGAGUAUUCAAACACAAUGGUCUUUUAAAAAACAAAGUUUGUACAGAUAACAUAACAUAAUAUCACAUUAAGAAAACAAACACAAAAUCUAAAUACAAACUCCCACUAUACUAGCACAUCAUCAAUGUGUACAACACCCAUAUGUGUGACAUGCUUAUGAUAUACUUUGGGUGGCAAACCCUUAGUGAGUGGAUCCGCAAUCAUGGAGUUUGUGCUUAUGUGUACAAUUGAUACUUGAAGACUCUGAACUCUUUCUUUCAUAACCAAGAACUUGAUGUCAAUGUGUUUGAACUUUGACGAACUUCGGUUGUUCUUAGAAUACAAUUCUGCGGCUUUAUUAUCACAAUUGAUUCUCAAUGGUUUCUCAAUCCCAUCAACAAUUCGCAACCGAGUGAUAAAAUUUCGCAGCCAUAUCCCAUGGUUUGAUGCCUCGUAGCAAGCUAUGAAUUCUGCCUCCAUGGUGGAAGAAGCAAUAAGUGUUUGUUUAACACUUUUCCAUGAAACUACUCCUCCAUCCAACAUGAAGAUGUAGCCUGAAGUGGAUCUCCUACUGUCAAGACAUCCCACAAAAUCGGAGUCCGAAUAUCCCACGAUCUCUAAAUGACUGGAUCUACGAUAUGUGAGCAUAUAAUAUUUAGUUUUUUGUAAAUAUCGCAUAACUCGUUUUGCCUUUUUCUAGUGAUCCAUACUUGGGUUACUCAAAUAUCUGCCUAACAUUCCAACAAUGUACGCAAUAUCCGGACGCGUACAAACUUGUGCAUACAUGAGACUUCCUAUUGCCGAGGCAUAGGGAAACCUCUCCAUAUCCUUUUUCUCAAGUUCAUUUUUCAAACAUUGGUGCAAACUAAAUUUAUCGCCUUUUGCUACAGGCGUGUCUCCUGGUGCACAAUUGCUCAUGCCAAAUCUACUCAACACUUUGUCAAUAUAGGUCUUUUGUGAUAACCCAAGUAUACCUCUUGGACGAUCCCUAUAGAUCUGUAUACCUAGCACAAAAGAUGCAUCACCAAGAUCUUUCAUAUCAAAUUUACUAGAUAGAAAUCACUUGGUUUCAUGCAAAAGUCCCACAUCACUACUUGCAAGUAGAAUAUCAUCAACAUAUAGCACCAAGAUAAUGAAUUUGCUCCCACUGAACUUGAGGUAUAUGCAUUGAUCAACGGUGUUCUCCUUAAAACCAAAUGAAGUAAUCACCUAAUCAAACUUUCGGUACCAUUGUCGGGAUACUUGCUUUAAACCAUAUAUGGACCUUUUUAAUCUGCAUACAAGUUGCUUUGAAUCAUUAGACUCAAAGUUCUUUGGUUGCACCAUGUAUAUUGUUUCAUCAAUGUUACCAUUAAGAAACGCAGUUUUAACGUCCAUUUGAUGCAACUCUAAAUCAUAAUGAGCUACAAGUGCCAUGAUGAUUCUAAAUGAGUCUUUUGACGAAACCGGUGAAAAAGUCUCCUUACAAUCAAUGCCUUCCUUUUGAGUGAAACCUUUUGCGACUAGGCGCGUCUUAUACCUAACAAUAUUACCUUUUGAAUCCUGUUUGGUCUUAAAAAUCCAUUUACAACCAAUCAGUUUUACACCUUUAGGCAACUCUACUAGGUCCCAAACACCAUUGUCUUUCAUUGAUUUCAUCUCUUCCUUCAUGGCUUCUAUCAACUUUUCAGAGUUAGAACUUUGUUUGACUUGACUAACUGAAAUUGGAUCGUCUUCCAAACCCAUGUCAAACUCAUUUUCUUGGAGAUAUACAACAUAAUCAUCUGAAAUUGUACUUUUCCUUUCUCUAGUGGAUCUCCUCAGUGGCAUUUGUACUUGAGGUUCUUGAGGUUGUUGAGUUACCUCUUCAUGAACUUGAAUCGGUUCCAUAACUUGAGCAGGAGGAAUUUCAGGUGUGUCUUGAAUUUCUGUUAUCGACUGUACAUUCUGAAUAGUGUCAUCAAACAUAAUAUGAUCAUGUCCAGUCGUAGGAAUACUAACAGAUUCCUCUUCAAAGACCACCUUUCUUAAUGGUUCUCUCCCACUUAACUCAACAUCCUCAAUGAACUUAGCAUUACUCGUUUCAAAGAAGGAUCUAGAUGAGGGGUCAUAAAAUUUGAAACCUCUCGACCUUUCAGAAUACCCUACAAAGUAGCAGCUUACUGUUCUGGAGUCCAAUUUCUUUUGAUUUACCUUGUAAGGCCUAGCUUCAGCUGGACAACCCCAAACAUGCAAGUGCCUAAUACUAGGUUUCUUGCUAGUCCAUAACUCAUAUGGGGUUUUGGCUACUACUUUGCUUGGUACUCUAUUCAAAAUGUAAACUGCAGUUUUGAUAGCUUCGCCCCAAAGUGAUUCUGGUAAGGUGGAAUGACUAAUCCUACUUCUUACCAUAUCCUUAAGAGUACGGUUUCGCCUCUCUGCUACACCAUUUUGGCUUGGAGUCCCUAGCAUGGUGUACUGAGGAACGAUACCACACUCCAUCAAAUAUUUGUCGAAUGGCCCUGGACGUUGUUCACCUAAUCCGUCAUAUCUACCAUAGUAUUCACUUCCACGGUCAGAUCUGACGACCUUUAUUUUCUUGCUUAGUUGGUUCUCAACUUCAGCUUUGAAAUUCUUGAACACAUCCAAUGACUGAGAUUUCUCAUGAAUCAAAUAAAGAUAGCCAUAGCGCGAGUAAUCGUCAAUGAAAAUGAUAAAAUAUUGUUGUCCAUUCCAAGAAGCUGUAGGGAAUGGUCCACAAAUGUCCGUAUGUAUCAAUUCCAAGACAUCACUGCACCUAUUGGCAUCCUUUUUCCUCAUAUUUGUUUGUUUACCUUUAAUGCACUCUAUACAGACUUGAAAGUCUGAGAAAUGAAGCGGAUCAAGAAUUCCUUCUAACACAAGCCUUUGAAUCCGUUGAUUUGAAAUGUGACCCAAACGUUUGUGCCAUAACAUUAAUGAAUUCUCAUUUAUUAAUUUUCGCUUAAUGCCAUAAUUACUUGAAUGCAAGGUUUCAUUUCCAUUAGUGGCCUUUAUGUUCAAUUUGUAUAAUUUAUCUGUUAAACUACUUGUACCAAUAACAUUUGAAUUUAGAUAAAGACUAACCAUUCCAUUUCUAAAUGAACAACAAUAUCCAAAUUUGUCCAGACAGAGAAACAGAAAUUAAAUUCCAUCUAAACGACGGUACUACAAAAGUCUCUUCCAAAUCCAAAGUACAUCCAGAGUCUAACUGUAAUCUGAAAAGACCAAUAGCCUUGACUGCAACCUUGUUGCCAUUUCCCACAUAGAUGUAUCUUUCACCAUCAAUUGGCAUUCGGCUCCUUAGGCAACCUUGCAUAGUGACACUUAUGUGAGUAGUUGCACUCGUAUGUAUCCACCAAGUGUCAGUAGGCACUACAGCUAAAUCAAUUUCUGAACAAACAAAGUUGAGAAGUGUACCUUUCUUUUCACGCCAAGCAGCGUAUUUGGUACAUGUCUUCUUCAUAUGACCAGCCUUUUUGCAAAAGAAACAAGUGAUCUCCUUAUCUUGUUUCUUCUACACCUUCUACUUUGAUGUCUCAGAAACUGCAGUUUGUUUUCCUUUAUUGUCCCUCUUUCUUUUCUUAUUGGCACCAAAUCCCUGAGAUGUGGAAGCCAAGUGAGCCCUUUCUAUCUUCUCUUGUUUCAAUCUCUCUUCCUCUUGUACACACUGAGCAAUAAGCUCAUUCAAAGUUCAUUUCUCCUUUUGAGUGUUGUAACUGAUUUUGAAUGGACUGAAUUGUGUAGGCAGAGAGAUCAAGACCAAGUGCAUGAGUAUGUUUUCCGAAAACUCUAACUUUAGUGCCUUGAGUCUAGUCACAAGAUUAGACAUUUCCAUAAUGUACUCCCUUAUAUUCUCUUUCCCUUUAUACCGCAUAGAGACAAGCUUACUAAGAAUAGUGCUUGUCUCAACCUUUUCGUUUGCAGCGAAUCGGUUUGCUAUUUGGUCCAAGAAUGCCUUGGCUUGGGUUUCCUCAAGUAUUGCACCCCUUAUAGUUUCUGGAAUUGAGUGUUUCAUAAUCAUUAGACUCAUGCGAUUGGAUCGCUCCCAUUUUUCCAUAGUAGACCUUUGCUCAGCAGUGUUGGCACUAGUAAGAUCUGAAGGGCGAUCCACUCUUAAUGUAUAGUCUAAAUCCAUGUACCCGAGCACAAUUAUAACGUGCUCCUUCCAUUUCUUAAAGUUUGUGUCAUUAAGCACAGGAAUGUUAUUGACAUUUGCAGAUAUAGAAGAUGCUAAAAUAAUAAUGAAGCUCACAAUCAGUCAUAUAAUCAUCACACAUACAUGAAUAAAUAAAAAAUUAACAUAUAUAUGCAUGUAGACAUAUAACAAGACACCUAACACAAACAUCAAUAUUCAGUAUUUGGACAAAAAUAUUAACUUGUAAAUGGCAUCUUGUUCAAUAUUAAUUCAUAAAUAUUGACAAUAAAACUGAAAAUAAUAUGUUUGUCUUUAGACUAACAUAUUGAAUGUAAGAUAAACUUUAUAUGUCACAUAUUUAUGAUUACUUUAUUUAUUAUUAUAUUAAAAUAAUCCUUCUUUGGGUUGAUUAUUUUAUACAAUAAUAUCAUGCUUACAUAUUUCAAAACAAAUAAAAUUAUAUAACACAUGUUACUUUGGCAACAAAUAUACAUAACUUAUUCAUUUUUAAAUGUUAAACACAAAUAUAGCAAGCAAUAAUUUAAUUAAAAUUAUUUAUGCAUAAACCUAUGUAUAUAUACAAGCUUUGAUAACAAUAGAUGGGAGAAAAGGUGGGCAAAUGCCGGAGCGAAGCGGAGUGGAAUGGAGCGUAGCGAAAUGGAAUGAAUAUAUUUUUGUGGGUGAAUGACAAGUUGGGGGGGUGCGGGGGGCAACACCCCCCGCGGUAUGGUUCAGGGGUAAUUUUGGUCUAAAAAUAUAUAUAUUUUUUUAUUUCUUUUGGGCUACUGGACCAUGGUGUUGGGCUUUGUGGAGCCUAGUUUUGUUUGAUUCGGUUUGACGACCCGACCCGAAUAAUAUUGCAUGGCUUUUUUAAUGGGAGAUUUAUUGAGGCCUGUUGGGCCCGUUUAGCCCAUUGUGGAACCACCUUUUUUAAUUAGGGUUUUUUUAGUAUGGUAGGGUUGUCGUGCUAUAUAUAUAUAGAGAAUAUUGUAGCCGCAAGGUUGUACUCUGUAUUCUUCCCUGAUAAUAGUGAUAUCCCUACAACUCCGUGGACGUAGGCAAAUUGCCGAACCACGUAAAUAUUGUCUUGUGUGUGUGAUUGUUUUUUCUUUGGCGUGUGUUUUCUCUAUUUUUUGUUUCUCACGGGUUGGGAAUUCGGUUUAAUUCCCUACAACUGGUAUCAGAGCCUAGGGUUAGGUUUGAGUGGGAGCAAUGGCAGAGGAAGCAGGAAAGGCGUCUGGAAUAGAAAAGUUUGAUGGCACAGACUUUGCGUAUUGGAGGAUGCAGAUUGAAGAUUAUCUCUAUGGGAGGAAAUUGCAUCUACCUUUUUUAGGGACAAAACCUGAGAGUAUGAAGGCUGAGGAAUGGACGCUUCUUGACAGACAGGUUCUAGGAGUUAUUAGGUUAACUCUAUCUAGGUCUGUUGCACACAAUGUUGUAAAGGAGAAGACCACAGCAGAUCUGAUGAAGGCUUUGUCCGAUAUGUAUGAAAAGCCAUCCGCAAACAAUAAGGUGCAUCUGAUGAAGAAAUUGUUCAAUUUGAAGAUGGCAGAGAAUGCAUCAGUAGCACAACAUCUGAAUGAAUUUAAUACAAUCACAAAUCAAUUGUCGUCUGUAGAAAUUGAUUUUGAUGAUGAGAUUCGUGCUCUGAUCGUCUUGGCUUCUUUGCCAAACAGUUGGGAGGCAAUGAGGAUGGCAGUAAGCAAUUCUACGGGAAAGGAAAAGCUCAAGUACAAUGAUAUACGAGAUUUAAUUCUGGCUGAGGAGAUUCACCGAAGAGAUGCAGGUGAAACCUCAGGAUCUGGUUCUGCCCUAAACCUUGAGACAAGAGGCAGAGGUAAUAAUAGAAAUUCAAAUCAGGGUAGAUCAAAUUCCAGAAAUUCUAAUCGGAACAGAAGCAAAUCUAGAUCAGGCCAACAAGUACAAUGCUGGAAUUGUGGGAAAACAGGUUACUUUAAAAGGCAAUGCAAAAGCCCUAAGAAGAAGAAUGAAGAUGAUUCUGCUAAUGCUGUAACAGAAGAGGUACAGGAUGCAUUACUUCUUGCAGUAGACAAUCCACUUGAUGAUUGGGUUUUGGAUUCAGGAGCUUCGUUUCAUACCACUCCACACCGAGAAAUCAUACAGAAUUAUGUUGCAAGUGAUUUUGGUAAGGUAUAUUUGGCUGAUGGUUCGGCCUUGGAUGUUGUGGGUCUGGGAGAUGUCCGGAUAUCGUUGCCCAAUGGGUCUGUUUGGUUACUGGAGAAGGUUCGACAUAUUCCUGACCUGAGGAGGAAUCUGAUUUCUGUUGGACAACUUGAUGAUGAAGGACAUGCAAUACUAUUUGUUGGUGGUACUUGGAAGGUUACAAAGGGAGCUAGGGUAUUGGCUCGUGGAAAGAAGACUGGCACUCUGUAUAUGACCUCAUGUCCAAGAGACACAAUUGCAGUUGCUGAUGCAAGUACUGAUACAAGCCUAUGGCACCGCAGACUUGGUCACAUGAGUGAGAAAGGGAUGAAGAUGUUGCUGUCAAAAGGAAAACUACCAGAAUUGAAGUCCAUUGAUUUUGACAUGUGUGAAAGUUGCAUCUUAGGAAAGCAAAAAAAGGUGAGCUUCUUGAAAACUGGCAGGACACCGAAGGCUGAAAAAUUAGAACUAGUACACACUGAUUUGUGGGGGCCUUCUCCGGUUGCAUCCCUAGGAGGUUCAAGGUACUACAUCACCUUUAUUGAUGACUCAAGUAGAAAGGUAUGGGUUUAUUUUCUGAAAAAUAAAUCUGAUGUAUUUGUAACUUUUAAGAAGUGGAAAGCCAUGGUUGAGACAGAAACAAGUUUGAAAGUAAAAUGUUUGAGGUCAAAUAAUGUAGGAGAGUACAUAAAUGGAGGUUUCAGUGAGUAUUGUGCUGCACAGGGAAUUAGGAUGGAGAAGACCAUUCCUGGGACACCAAAGCAGAAUGGUGUGGCUGAGCGCAUGAAUAGAACUCCCAAUGAGCGUGCUAGAAGUAUGAGGUUGCAUGCUGGACUACCAAAAACUUUUUGGGCUGAUGCUGUUAGCACUGCAGCUUACCUGAUAAACCGAGGACCAUCAGUUCCCAUGGAGUUCAGACUUCCUGAGGAGGUUUGGAGCGGUAAAGAGGUGAAGUUUUCACAUUUAAAAGUUUUUGGUUGUGUUUCUUAUGUUCAUAUUGAUUCUGAUGCUCGUAGUAAACUUGAUGCAAAGUCAAAAAUAUGUUUUUUCAUUGGCUAUGGUGAUGAGAAAUUUGGCUAUAGGUUUUGGGAUGAACAAAACAGGAAAAUCAUCAGAAGUAGAAAUGUGAUAUUUAAUGAACAGGUUAUGUACAAGGAUAGGUCAACUGUAACGUCAGAUGUUACAGAGAUAGAUCAAAAGAAAUCUGAGUUUGUCAACUUAGAUGAAUUGACUGAAAGUACUGUCCAAAAAGGGGGUGAAAAAGAUAAGGAGAAUGUAAAUUCACAGGUAGAUUUGAGUACACCUGUAGCUGAAGUUCGUAGAUCUUCCAGGAACAUUAGACCUCCGCAACGUUAUUCACCUGUUUUAAAUUAUCUCCUGUUGACUGAUGGUGGUGAGCCAGAGUGUUAUGAUGAAGCCUUGCAAGAUGAGAAUUCAAGCAAGUGGGAGUUAGCCAUGAAGGAUGAGAUGGAUUCCCUAUUGGGGAAUCAGACAUGGGAACUGACUGAAUUGCCAGUAGGAAAGAAGGCUUUGCACAACAAGUGGGUAUACAGAAUAAAGAAUGAGCAUGAUGGUAGCAAACGUUACAAGGCCAGAUUAGUUGUUAAAGGGUUCCAGCAGAAGGAGGGCAUUGACUACACAGAGAUAUUUUCUCCAGUUGUGAAGAUGUCAACAAUUAGACUUGUACUUGGAAUGGUGACUGCAGAAAACUUACAUCUUGAGCAGUUAGAUGUGAAGACAGCAUUCCUUCAUGGUGACUUGGAGGAAGACCUUUACAUGAUUCAGCCAGAAGGGUUCAUUGUUCAGGGACAAGAGAAUCUAGUCUGCAAACUGAGAAAGAGCUUGUAUGGCCUUAAACAAGCUCCUAGACAGUGGUACAAGAAGUUUGACAAUUUUAUGCAUAGAAUUGGGUUCAAGAGAUGUGAAGCUGAUCAUUGUUGCUAUGUUAAGUCCUUUGACAAUUCUUACAUCAUAUUACUGUUAUAUGUGGAUGAUAUGCUUAUUGCAGGGUCUGACAUUGAGAAGAUUAAUAAUCUGAAGAAGCAAUUGUCCAAACAGUUUGCAAUGAAGGAUUUGGGAGCUGCAAAGCAAAUCCUUGGUAUGAGAAUCAUUAGAGACAAGGCUAAUGGUACAUUGAAACUUUCACAGUCAGAGUAUGUGAAGAAAGUUCUCAGCAGGUUCAACAUGAAUGAAGCUAAACCAGUGAGCACACCCUUGGGUAGUCAUUUCAAACUAAGCAAAGAACAGUCACCGAAGACAGAAGAAGAAAGGGACCAUAUGAGCAAGGUGCCCUAUGCCUCAACUAUUGGCAACUUGAUGUAUGCUAUGGUGUGUACAAGGCCAGACAUUGCACAUGCAGUGGGAGUUGUGAGCAGAUUCAUGAGUAGGCCUGGAAAGCAGCAUUGGGAGGCAGUCAAGUGGAUUUUAAGAUAUCUGAAGGGUUCAUUAGAUACAUGUCUUUGCUUCACAGGUGCAAGUUUGAAACUGCAGGGUUAUGUAGAUGCUGAUUUUGCUGGUCAUAUUGAUAGUAGAAAGAGUACUACUGGGUUUGUUUUUACUCUAGGUGGUACAGCUAUAUCAUGGACUUCAAAUCUACAGAAGAUUGUUACUUUGUCUACUACAGAAGCUAAGUAUGUUGCAGCAACUGAAGCUGGAAAGGAGAUGAUUUGGCUACAUGGUUUCUUAGAUGAAUUGGGUAAGAAGCAGGAGAUGGGCAUUCUACACAGUGACAGUCAGAGUGCAAUUUUUCUUGCCAAAAAUUCGGCUUUUCAUUCAAAGUCGAAGCAUAUACAAACAAAAUACCACUUUAUCCGUUAUCUUGUUGAAGAUAAACUGGUAAUACUUGAGAAGAUUUGUGGAUCUAAGAACCCGGCAGACAUGUUGACUAAGGGUGUCACUAUUGAGAAGUUGAAGUUGUGCGCAGCUUCAAUUGGUCUUCUAGCUUGAGGACAGGAGGAUGAGUUGUAGGGAUGAGGGAUUGUUUCUUGGAGGAUAGCGGUUUGAUGUUGGUGAUUGGACUAGUCUCCAAGUGGGAGAUUUGUUGGGCUUUGUGGAGCCUAGUUUUGUUUGAUCCGGUUUGACGACCCGACCCGAAUAAUAUUGCAUGGCUUUUUUAAUGGGAGAUUUAUUGAGGCCUGUUGGGCCCGUUUAGCCCAUUGUGGAACCACCUUUUUUAAUUAGGGUUUUUUUAGUAUGGUAGGGUUGUCGUGCUAUAUAUAUAUAGAGAAUAUUGUAGCUGCAAGGUUGUACUCCGUAUUCUUCCCUGAUAAUAGUGAUAUCCCUACAACUUCGUGGACGUAGGCAAAUUGCCGAACCACGUAAAUAUUGUCUUGUGUGUGUGAUUGUUUUUUCUUUGGCGUGUGUUUUCUCUAUUUUUUGUUUCUCACGGGUUGGGAAUUCGGUUUAAUUCCCUACACAUGGCUCAUCCACAUUAGCAAACAAAUUGUAAAAGAAAUUAAGGGCAUUUUCAUCUUUUAAGGGACGCCGGCAGUGGCGUUUCGGAUACUAAAGGACACCGACAGCGGCGUCAUAGGCUGUAAUGGAGACGGCGCCGGCAGCGGCAUUGUAGAGGUGUUCCCAAAAGCAAAGGGCGCCAAAAUAAUGCCAAAUGACGGCGUCUACAACGUCUUUCUAGGCGGCGUCGUAAGGAAGACGCCACAGCGCCUUCUCCGACUGCCUAAACGGUGCUAAAAAAACGCUUCUCCAAGCGAUCGAUCGCUAAGAAGACGCGCCACCAACAUUGCUGCCUGAAAUGCCACACCAUCCAAUCAGUGAAGACGGACGCAUGCGACACGAGCUGAAGAGAUUUGUAGGAAACCCCUGUAGCAGCACACCAAUGGCGCCACAGCGGCGCACCCCCUACAGCCUCCCAAAAACGGCACGACGUUGUGACUUGCAGCCCUAAAAUGGAGCUUGAACAGCACCUGAAGUGCGCCUGAACCGUGCCUAGAUCGCCCAAAACGGCCAGAUUUUUUGUUAUUUGUGUUUUAAAAGGCAUUUUGGUGAAGAUUGAACAUGCUCUAAUACCAAUUGUUACUAGUUUUCAUUUUCCAUUUCUACCAAAACGCAUAUAGGAUAUAUAUAUUUAUCAAUUCAUUUAGAACAUGCAUUUAUUCACAUGGAACAUACCUGAAUCCAUUUCUGAAUUUUGGUUGAAGAUGUAUGGAUCUUCUAAGGCCGAGGAAGGUAACCACCGUCACUGGAUUCUCUCUGGCAAUGGGAAGCGGGAGAGAUUAGGGUUCUGUUUUAUUCAAAAAUGUGAUAUAACAAAAUGAACAGACCCUUGACCUUUUAUACCCUCAUGCCUUAGGGACCAUACCCAUUGGGCUAUUGGGCCUCACGAGUCUUCGGCCCAUUAUCUAAGGCUCGUGAUGACGUUUGGGCUCUACACAUAGGUGGCCCAUACUCUUGAACGAACAGAAAACAAAUUGAAGAGGUGAAUAGCUUAGUCAUGAAUUAUUGUGAGAUAUGUGAGUCCAUAUCUUAACAGGAAUCACCUACUAUCUGGUUCGGCUUUCAAAUCUCUAGUUUCAGUUCUCAUGCUAGCCAUGUUCACCACCAUGGCAUCGAUUUACGUCACCGGCCGAUGAGUUCUCAUAUUGUUUCGUAUUGUGAAAUGAUUUUCAUUUCUUAGCUGUAAUAGUGUUUAUAGUGUGGUUAAUUUCUUUAAUUUAGGUUUUGUUUUGUGAUGCUUUGAUUUUGAUUAUAAUUGGUCUAUGUUUUUCAAAAGAAAAAUUGUUUUUAUGGAAAUCUGUUAUUGGUAGGCUAUGGUUGGAUUAUGAGAAUAAGGUUUAUUUGAUUAAAGAGCUUGAUAUUGUUAUUCGAUUGUAGCUUCAACUUUUCUUCCCCACAGUUUGUUAAUGCAUUUUUAGGGACUAUUUUGUUAUUGAGACUAAAUUAUAAUGAUACAAAGAGGGUCUUGACAUUGAAUGGAACCAGAAUCAGUCCAUCAUGGUAUAUGUUCUAUAGCAUUACAUUACAAUGCCAAAUAAACUGGUGAUGUGCAUAAGCUCUUGCUUUUUUCUUUCUUUCUUUCUGUUUUUUUUUUCUUUUAUUGAAACAAUCAGAGUUGAUACCAACCUAUUUUCAUUUUUUGAAAUUAAUCAUUCAGAGUAAUUGAGGUAAAUAUCUAUACUUACCAGUUUAAUAGUUUUUAGGUGUAAUCAGCCAAUGACACUGAAAAUUACAGGUAAAUAAAUUAUAUCUAUACUUUAUGUGGGGUUCUUUUUUUGGGGUUUUUGUUAUAAUAGACAAAAUAUAAUCUAGAGGUCAUGGUUAUGGUUCUUCAAUUUUAUAGGAACAGCAGAAGAAGUUAGCAACCUUUGAGAUGGAGUUACUUGCAGCACAGUAGGAAUAUUUUGUCUCAAAGAACUUGUCAGAAAAUAAGGAACUCCUCCUAAGAAAAAGCAUUUAGCUGAUGUAGGAACUAUUACAAAGUUUGGCCACAAGAACAAUAGAGAUGCAAUCCAUAAGACAUGGAUACCAAUUGGUAGAAUACCCUUCUUUUUGUAAGUUUCUCUCUUUACUCUUUCUAUGAUUUACAUAGAGAAUGACCCAGUUGGCACUUAACAAAUUGGCAUUUAUGUUAUAAGCAUAUAAGGGAUAAAAGCAGGAGGCUUGUAGCCUGAACUCUUAUUAACAUGAAAACUUUUAGGGAACUUCCAUUUCUCUUCUAUUCUUUUUUCAUUGUUUUGUUUAUUUUGUCAGUUUGCAAUAGUCAUCUUUCAAUAGUUUGCAAACUCCAUCAACCAAUUUGAAAAGCCUUGGAGCUAACAGGUGCAAAUUAUGAGAAUCUAAAAUCUUGUCUCUCUAGGAUUUUUCUAAAAUUGCUCAAUUGAAUGGAAAGCAGAAAACCAUCAAGAGGCCCUGCCCUGCACCCUCUAUACUCCUGUUUACAGAAAUUUGGAGUUUGUCUUUAUUGUAAUAAGGGAGACAAUAGUUUGCAUAAUAAUGGAACAAGAAGUAAUAUUGUGAUUCGCUGCUUCAAAAAGUAAUUUUGACAUAACUUAUGUGCUAAACUGCACUAAAAUGCUUAGCACAAAAAGUAUGUUAUUCUUCAUUUGAGAGCAUUACAUUGAACCUCAUAUGUUAGCAUCACUUUUGCCAUAACUAAUCUUUCUUUCUUUCCCCUUAUCCAAGACAAUGCAUAUUGAGUGAUUGAUACUUAAGUUAAUAGCCUUAGCACCCACAUGGGGUGAAGUUUGAAUCCAGAAUUUCCCAAUAGUCUUAAUACGCUUCCUCGGGUGUAUUCGAACUUAAGACGUCAAUGUUAAACCACCACCUUACCCAAAACCUUUAAGUUACUCGGUAAUAGGCCAACAAUGGGAUAUUAAGGCCACUAAUAGGUAGGCUAAUAGCCUGAGCAAUUCUCUUAUAAUGUUUAAUGGUUCAAAUGUUGACAAUUAAAACAUUUACAAAAGCAUGAUGACUUAGCCAUCGUUUUCAUACAGAUACUCUAGAAGCAGUUCUUGCUCUACCCAUUUGAAUAAGCCUUGAGUUUAUAUUGGGUGUAUGAAAUCAGGUGAAGUUUUCUCAAAGUUGUGAGUAUAAUCAAAGGGUUUUUUUUUUCUUUUCUCUAAUGAUGAGAAAACGAGUUCUUUAUGAUAUUCUAUUUUCACAUAUUGUAUUAUCUUUUCAUAUAGUAAGAACUAGACUGGUAGAAAUUUGGUGAUGGAAAAUCAUGAGUAAUUCUGUAUUGAUUUCAUCUUGUCUCUUAUAUUAAGAUAAGUAAUUAUUACCUUCUAGUUCUGUUAACUAGUCAGGAAGUCUCUUAGUAUCUCCGAAUUCAUCUGAUAGGUGAUAGAAGUCCCAAUGAAUAACUAGGGCAUUGUCCCAUAAGAGGCUUGCUUGAUAGAGAGUUAGAGCACCAUUUCUGAAGUUUUUUGGGCAUUUAAACAAUUUAUCAUUCCAUCAUAUUCUUGACAUCUGUUACACUUGAUUUGCCCACCCUAUGCACCCAUAUUUAAACCAUCUCAAACUCUGAUUUGUGUUGAGGUAUCCUGGAGUUUGCAGAGGGACGCCUUCUCGGGAAGUCAGGCUUACAUUGGCUGAAUAUACAUUUAGAAAAUUUAUAUGCUGGUCGACUGGACAAGUUAUCAUACGAGGGUUGGGUAGCAUUUAUUGAGAAUCAUUUAGAAGAUAUAUUUGAUUCCACAGACAGACCUCUGGAAGGAAGACGUUGGUGGUUGUCUGCUGAGGAUCCUUUCCAAUGCUUGGCUGCAUGUAUUAAUCUCUCAGAAGCAUUAAGAAGCUCCUCUCCAUAGACUACUAUUUCACACAUGCCUGUCCACCAGGUACUUCAUUCUCAUCAUGGUCACAUUCAAACUGAGAAAUGUUUACUACCGAGUGAAAUCAAAUUAAUCCCACCUCCCUCCUACUCCACCCAACUCCACAAUAAAUAAGAAAUCUUAGAACUAGUUUUUAUUGGAAUUAUGUUCUAAGCAUAGGCAUAUCAUUUGUUGCCUUGUGUAUUUUGUAUAAAAUCCUCCAGGUAACUAUAUAGUUCUUCUGCAUUUACACAUGGAAAAUGACAGUCACAUGAUUGUUCAGACCCUUCAGAGUACCCCAUUUGUUGCGGAGCAGAAAUAAUGGAUCUACCACUUCUUUCAUAGCACUACCUUAUGUUUGCGCUAUCCUAUUGAAGUAGGCUUGAGAGGAUAACAGAUAUUUCCCUGACUUUACUUUUGUUUUCAUAUUAAAUGCUUAGAUUCAGGUCAUUUGUUUGUCCAAAACUUAAUCUGAGAUUGUAUUGUUCUAUCUUUUUCAAGGAUGGCUCGUGCAAUGGCUUACAACACUAUGCUGCCCUUGGAAGGGACAAGGUAGUGGAAUUUUCCGCUUUUGGUUGAUCGUUGUGGAGUUCUAAUUAUGUGAUAUGGAAGCAUGGUUUUUGAUUAGUUAGGCAUAGCUUUUCACUCUUUUUCUGCUUUGAGGCUAAAUUUGUCUCAACUUUGAUCUUCUCUCAUUUUGAUAGGAAAAAAAUGAACUUUGUUAAGGAAAGAUAGUACGAGGAUAAGGAACUAGAAAUUGAAACCCAAGAAAGAAACCAAACUUUGUUUGAGUUUGGUGCAGUUUAUUUAAUUUGAUUUUUUUAAGUCAUCUCAAAGUAUGGUUGUUUCAAGAAAGGGGUUUAUCAUGGUAUUUGGCGAGUUCAAAGGCUACGGUAACAGAUCAGUCUUUGAAGGCCGUGAAUUUUAGUUAGAGUUUAGUAUUGGAGGAGAUUUUUUUUAUUUUUUUUAUUUUUAUUGAAGUUUCCUUGUUCUUUCAUCUUUGGCAGUAGAAGUUUGAAUUGGGGAUUAUUAUUUGAUUAUGCAGUUUGGAUAUAUAUAUAUAUAUAUAUAUAUAUAUAUAUAUAUAUAUAUAUAUAUAUAUUGGAAAUUAAAAUUUGUUGCUUCAACUAAAGUUUUAUAUAUGUAAUAGAAAAUAUAUACCGGAAAAAGUGGUAGGACCUUUUCAAUUUUGAAAUGAGAAUUUUAAUUAAAAUAUUUGAAAAAAAAAUUCAAGACUUCAGCUGUGGCCAACAUAAGUUGUGUCAAGAGAAUAAAUUAUGAAGCCCUAUAGUUGCGGCUGACAAAAGGCCAUGUCCAUAAGUACUAUAUAGUAUUAAAUUAUGUAGAUAUCACACCUUUAUAGCAGCAACUAUCAGCUGUCCCAACCACAUAUGGAGCUUUUAGUUGAGGAAAAAACAUGACAACGGGGAUAGCUUCACAACUUCUACUUGUGUCUUUUAUAGGUGGCUGCAACUAUAGGAUUUAUCUGCAUCCCUAUGGCCUUCGCGGCUAUGAACUUAACUUCUUGUAGUGUGUAACACUCUCGCCUCGUGUAUGAUUGCAUGAACUUGCAACACAUGUACUGCACAACUCUUUGUUAAUGGUUGUUAAAAAUAGAUUUCUAUUUUUGAAAAUUGAAAAUAAGAAAAUCUUGUUUGACAAUAAGAAAAUAGAAACCAAUUUUUCAGAAAUAGAAAAUAGGUUUUGUUCUUAAAAAAAAAAAAAUGUUUUCAAUUGUUUUCUAGGGUUAUUUUUUUAAAAAUAAUAUGAUAAAUAUGAAGAAUAAUUAAAAAUAAAAUGCUACAUAUAAAACUUACUUUUUUGAAAAAUAUUUGAAAGUAAAAAAUACGUUAAAAGCAUUUCAAAUUUUCAAACAAACAUUUAUCAUAUAAAUCUCAUAGAAUUAUUUUGGAAAACUAUUUUAAAAAACUAUUUCUUUUUUGAAUGAUUUUCAAAAUUAUUUCCAAACUAACUUAAAGUAUGUUUGACAGUGAUUUUAUGAAGUAUUUUUAAUCUUUUUAAUAUUUGAAAAAUAAAAAGUUUUAAGUGUUAAAAAAAUUAUAAGCAUUUCCUAAAAUCAUUAUCCAAUAAACUCUAAUUCUCUUUACUAAAGGCUUAUACAGGUUUUUAUAUUUUGCCUCCUAACCAUGUUAGAUAGGUGGUAACCAUGUUAUAAGAUUUUGGGUUAGCAUUGGCUAGUCUGCACUUAUAUGUACUUAAUUGUUGUUUUUAAACAUAGAAAAUGAAAGUAACUUGGAUAUAAAAUAUAAAAACUUUUAGAGGCUUACAUUAUUUCAAAUUUCAAAAUUUUUUAUAAUGAUUUUUAAAGAUAUAAGGUGAGUUUAUACUUUUGGUAAAAAAAAUUUCUAUUUUUUUAUAUAAAAAUUAUUACUACUUUUUGUGAUAAAAAAAAUGUAUAAAAAAAUGUCAAUAUACAAAUAAUAAAAGUUGAAAGAACAUUUUCAAUACAUAGAUUAUCUUAAGGGUUCAAAUGUGGGCUAAGCCUAAAACUUAAUAUUAAAUCUUCUCUCAUUCAAAUAAUAGUCUUUAUAAAUACUAGAAUAUCCUAAAUAGUUAUGGACCAAUAUUUCAAACAAAUUUCUCAAACAUUAGUAUCAAAAGAAACUUUCAUUAACCAUGACGAGCUCCCUGUUUUAAUCUAAAACAUGUAAAUAAACAUAAUUAACUUCAAUCUAAGCAAGAUUUAGAUUUGUAUUAUGGAUAAUAUAAAUCUAAAUAUUUUCUUAAAAGAUGAUCAUAAGUUUCUUAGUCCAUGACUUCAAUUAAUAGAAAAAAUAUUUAUAAGCUCAAUUUUGUUGGAAGACUUUUUAUAUUUUCCCGUAACUUACACUCCAUUAAAGAUUCAAGAUUAUUUAGAGUUAAGUACAGAUUGGAUAACACAAGUAUAAAGUUAUGAAAAGAACAAUAACUUUUAAUUGAAAAAGAUUUUGGAGAUCUAGUGCUCAAGCACUUGAAUCUAGCUUUCAAGGCUUGGAACACUCAAGUAUUGCUUGAGAGUACCCAAUAACAAGCACUCAAGUGGUGUACUUAUCUCGUACUUGAGCACUCAAAAGAGGGGUUUCCAAAAAAUAAGUUUGCAUACAACACUCAUUAAAAAAAAAUGAUUAUAUAUCUAUACACACACAUGAUCCAUGGUUUAAAUAAAACAUUUCUUAUAUUUACAAUAAUUUUAUUUUAAAGUAUUGUUAUUAUAUUAUACCAAUGUUGUUAGGCCAUAUUUUGCUAAACAAAAUGAAAAAGAAAACACAUUAUUUGGCAAAUAUUUUACAACUAGAGGUGAUGAAGACUAAUGUUAGUAAUUAGGUUUGCCAUAUGUUUCAACAAUGUACAAUUAGCUCAAUCACUUGAAGCUUAUACCAAAAAUAUAUUUGAAUAACAGACAAAAUUUCUGAAGGGUACAUAGUGAUAAUCAACUACCAAAUUAACAUAAACAUAAAAGUUGGAAGGACAAUUUUAAGGUAUAGAUGACUCUAAAAUAUCAAAAGUAGGUUGAGUAUCCAACUUAAUAUUACAACUUUUCUCACUUAAAUGACAGUUUACAAAUAACAAAACUACCUAAAGAAAAAUAAUUGUUUGCCAACAUUUCAAAGAUAGAAUUCUCAAACACUAGUACCAAAAGAAAUCUUCAUCACCACUAAGAAUUCAUCUUUGUAUUCAAUCUGAAACAAGUAAAUACACAUGAUUAGCUCCAAUUUAAGCAACAUUUAGAUUUUCAUAAUGGAAUAUAAACAACAUGUUCGAUAUUAUUAUUGCAAUUAUUGUUAUUAUUAUUAUUAUUAUUAUUAUUAUUAUUAUUAUUAUAUAAUUAACAACACAAUAUUAACAAACUUGGUUAUAAAGAUUGUUUAAAUUCCUAUAGUUUUCUCACUUGUGGUAUUUAACCAUACUCAAGUGAGUAUAUUUGUCAAUAAAUUUAGAGUUUCAACUAACAACCUAUAACAAUUUAUAAUUUUAGCUGUUUGCUUGUAUAUUUUUUUGGAAUUCAACCUUGGAAAAAAUCACACGUAUCUUAAUCUUCCCUAUGAAAAUCACAUUCUGCAACUUCAAAGAGUUGAACCCAAUUAUAAACUCCCUCCAUCCUCUUUCUAAUGACUCAAACUAGGAGAUUGAUUACCCUAUGCAUUGUAUUUAGGAACUUAAUUGUAGUAAGGGAAGAGAAACAACUUAUAUUCAUAUGUAUAGUUGAAGGGUCUAAAAAUAUGCCUCUUACUAUAACAUGAUUUGAACAUUUAAAGCAAUAUACUUUUAGUAAAUCAAUGUCCAACAAGACAACAAUUCAAUUUCUUUUUUUUUUUGUAAAUUUAAAUCAUUAUUUUCAAUUCAAGAAGUUAAGAAAUAAUAUAAUAAAAUAUAAGCAUAAAAAGAUUAAUAGCUAACAAAUAUGUACGUAAACAUGGAUGGCCUUUCAUUACGUUGCAAUGAAAUUCAUCUUACCUUCUUUUUGCAUGAUGUUUAUUAUUUUGAAACCACAUCACCCUCUGUAAAAUAGUUGAAUUCAUUGUGAUGAUAAUCAUAACACACCAAAAAUACAAUGAAAUAAAAUAAAUAAAUAAAUAAACAAGGAAGAAAAUAAAGGAAAAAGAAUCGUAAGUGAUGUAAGAUAUGUCACCUUUUCAGCCAUGAACUCCAUCUGUUUCCAUCUUCCUUUUCAGACGAGCCACAUUCACUGCAGUGAAGACAUAUAACCUAUCUCUGGUUUCAUCAAUGAACCGGAAAUAAGCCUGCCUCCAAGACUUCUUUAGAGCCAAACUGCCACAUACAGCCCAAAAUCCCACCGGAAAGCCCAAUCCCAUGCUUAUGAAGAACCAUGACAGGUCCCAUUCAUCUUCAUCUUCCUCCUCAUCUGUGUGAUCUUGAUCAUUUAAAGUGGAGCAAUUGGUUGAAAAUGGAGGCCCACAAAGUCCCAGGUUCGCCUCAUAAAUGGAUGGAUCAUUGAAUGUCGAGAAUUGGUUGGUUGUUGGAAUUGGUCCUGACAGGAGGUUAUGUGAUAGGUUCAAAUGGUUCAAUGAGGUUAUAGAAGACAUGCUCGGAGGAAUUGGACCUGAAAGGCGGUUGCAUGAGAGGUCAAGAGUUUCUAGCCCUUGCAUGGCUCCGAUCUUCUCAGGUAUUUUUCCAAUCAAUUGGUUUUGGGACAAAUUCAAGGUACCCAGGGUCGAGAGAUUUGUGAUCUCUUUUGGGAUCUCUUGUCAAAACUCAACCAAGAUGAAUACCCUAAUUUCAUAUAUACUGGAAUAUUUAACAAGGUGAAUACCCUAAUUUCAUAUAUACUGGAAUCUCCUAAUUAAAAACAAUGAGUAGAAAAAUAAUAGCGGAAGCAUACCUGAAUCCAUUGAAGGAGAAACCUUAUAGGAAGAAAACCCUUUGAGAUGGUCUUCCAAUUCUAGCCACUAGAUUCUGUGUCAAUUUCUCUCUGAGAGGAUUUUCAGAAAUUGGAAUGCGUAGUCGUAGAAUGGGGACCAUAACCCUAUUUAUAAACCGCUAGGGCAGUUUUAAUUUUAUCACAAUUAUAUUUCUGCCCCUCAUAGAAAUAAUAAUUGUCUAAUGGUAUCUACACAAUAAUCUCAUGACAAUUAUACCUUUAAGCCAAUUAAUCAAUUAAAAAUUAGAUCACUAUAUUUAGGCUUAAUUAAAUGAUAGCACACACAUUUUAAUUAUUUACAUGUGUGGCCCAAAUUAUAGAUUAAUUACAAAAAAUUAAUCUAACAAUCUCCCACUGGGCCACAUGCAUAUGUAAUCAAAUAAAUGUGCUUAACCUUAUGAGCUCAAAAUUUGCUAUCAUGUCCUUAGGGUAUAUCCGAACAAUCUCGUCCAUUAACUAUACUGACAUAGGAUCAAGGUGGCCUUUGUUACAUCAAUCGUUACUAGACCAAUCAAUGGUCACAUAUAUCUGCACAGCUAAAUGACAUAGAUCAAUCAUGAGUGCAUAGCAUGGAAAUUACAUGCAAUGUGAUCUAUUCAUGCCUAUUUCCAACUGGUCCAACUUAAAUUUAUUGAGAUCAAAUCUUUAGCAUAAUUUAACAGAGUGCAAUAAAAUGAAUACUUUAUUUCUGCAGAACACAAUCCAAAUGUAUAGAUAAAGUCUAAACAUAACAUAGAGCAAUAUACAAUGAAUAAUACAAACUCCCACUAAAUUUGGAUAUCCUCAAAUGAGACAACACCCAUAUGAGCAGUGUGCUCAUGAAAGACCUUGGGUGGUAAUCCCUUUGUAAGCGGAUCCGCUAUCAUGGAGUUUGUUCCAAUAUGCUCUAUGGAUAUCUGUCCACUCUGUACUUUUUCUUUUACAAUUAGGAACUUGAUAUCAAUGUAUUUUGAUUUUGUAGAACUCCUGUUGUUAUUGGAAUAUAAAACUGCUGAUUUAUUGUCACAAAAUAUCUUCAGUGGUCUUUCAAUACCAUCCAGAACACGCAGCCCAGUGACAAAAUUUCGUAGCCAUAUUCCUUGAUUGGAUGCCUCAUAACAUGCUACAAACUCUGCUUCCAUGGUGGAUGAAGUUACGAGUGUCUGUUUGGCAGACCUCCAUGAAAUUGCUCCACCAGCCAACAGAUAAAUAUAGCCUGAUGUGGAUCUUCUGCUGUCUUGGCAUCCAGCAAAGUCGGAGUCGGAAUACCCAAUCAACUCUAACUGAUCCAAUCUCCUAUAUGUAAGCAUGUACUCUUUUGUUCUCUGUAAAUAUCUCAUAACCCUCUUGGCUACUCUCCAAUGAUCCAUUCCAGGGUUACUUAGAUAUCUGCCUAACAUGCCAACAAUGUACGCAAUAUCCGGACGUGUACAUACCUGAGCAUACAUUAGACUCCCCACAGCCGAAGCGUAAGGAAUCUUCUGCAUUUCUUGACUUUCUAAACUAUUUUUAGGGCAUUGAUUAAGACUGAAUUUGUCUCCUUUAGCGACAGGGGUAUCACCUGGUUUGCUAUUUUGCAUGCCAUACCUUUGGAGGACUUUAUCAAUAUAGGUCCUUUGUGACAAUCCUAAAAUACCCCUAGAACGAUCUCGGUGUAUCUGGAUUCCUAAGACAAAGGAGGCAUCACCAAGAUCUUUCAUCUCAAAAUGUUUUGAUAAAAAUCUCUUGGUAUCGUGCAAUAUGCUGAUAUCAUUUGUGGCUAGCAAUAUGUCAUCGACAUAUAAAACCAGGAAAAUAUACUUACUCCCACUGAAUUUGUGAUACACACAUUCAUCUAUAAGAUUUGCCUCAAAACCAUAUGAGACAAUAAUUUGAUGAAAUUUGAAGUACCACUGACGAGAAGCUUGCUUGAGCCCAUAAAUGGAUUUAGUUAAUUUACAAACCAUAUUCUUUGAGUCUUCGGACACAAAAUUUUCUGGUUGUACCAUAUAAAUUGUUUCAUCAAUGUCACCAUUGAGAAACGCUGUUUUAACAUCCAUUUUAUGUAACUCAAGAUCAUAAUGUGCAACUAGUGCCAUGAUUAUCCUGAAAGAGUCCUUCGUAGAAACUGGAGAGAAGGUCUCUUUGAAGUCAAUUCCUUCUUUUUGAGUAAAGCCUUUAGCUACAAGACGUGCUUUAUAUCUUUCUACAUUACCAUUUGAAUCCCGCUUGGUUUUAAAUAUCCAUUUACAACCAAUGGGCUUCGUACCAACUGGUAAUGGGACAAGUUCCCAAACUUUAUUGUCUUGCAUAGAUUUGUACUCUUCAUUCAUGGCUUCAAUCCGUUUCUGAGAGUUGGAACUUUUCAUGGCUUGCUGGAAGUUGAUUGGAUCAUCUUCCAUCAUUCCACUUUCUACCUCACGUUCCUAAAGAUAUACGAUAUAAUCGUCCAAAAUUGCAUUUCUCCUCUCUCUAGUGGAUCUCCUUAAUGGCAUAUUUUCUUGAGGUUGUUGAGUUUGUUCUUCAGGAGCAAUGUCCUCAUUUGCAAUUAAGGGUUGAACAAUAUUGUCUGUUGGUUGAGGAUCCAAAUUUACUUGUUGAUCAAUGAUAGGUAGUGAAACCUGUACAUUAUCAAAAGCAAUAGUAGAUCCCUCUUCCUCCUCAAAGACAAUAUUCCUAGCCUGAUUUCUCCCCCCAAACUCAACAUCCUCAAAAAAUGUUGCAGUUCCCGUCUCAAAAAUUGACCUAAUAGCAGGAUCAUAAAAUUUAAAACCCCUUGAUCGCUCUGCAUAGCCAAUAAAGUAGCUGCUAACUGUUUUAGAGUCCAAUUUCUUUUCAUGAGGCUUAUAAGGUCUCGCUUCAGCUGGACAUCCCCAAAUAUGAAAAUGCUUUAAACUGGGCUUUCGACCCGUCCAAAGCUCAUAAGGCGUUUUAGCAGCCGCUUUAGUUGGCACCUGAUUUAGGAUAUAAGCUGUCGUUUUGAGUGCUUCACCCCAGAGUUUUUCGGGUAAAGUAGAAUGACUAAUCAUACUCCUUACCAUGUCCUUAAGGGUUCGGUUUCGUCUUUCUGCUACACCAUUCAUGCUAGGUGAUCCUGGCAUGGUGUAUUGAGGGACGAUCCCACAUUCCUCUAGGUAUUUAGCAAAUGGUCCUGGACGUUGUUCACCUGAUCCGUCAUAUCUACCAUAGUAUUCACCACCACGGUCAGAUCUGACGCUCUUUAUUCUUUUGUUGAGUUGUAACUCAACUUCUGCUUUAAAUGUUUUGAACACGUCCAAUGAUUGUGAUUUCUCAUGUAUAAGAAAUAGGUAGCCAUAUCUUGAAUAGUCGUCUAUGAAUGUUAUAAAGUACUGUUGACCAUUCCAAGAUGCCGUAGGGUAUGGUCCACAGAUAUCUGUAUGAAUUAAUUCUAAGACGUCUGUAGCUCUAUUGGCACCUAAUUUCUUUGUUUUGGUCUGUUUUCCUUUAAUACACUCAACACAAAUAUCAAAAUCUGAAAAGUCAAGUGAAUCCAAAAUCCCAUCGGACACAAGUUGCUCAACUCUAGAUUUAGAGAUAUGACCUAGGCGUUUGUGCCACAAUGAGGCCGAAUUAUCUUUAUUCAAUUUACGUUUUGUACCUCGUGAUUCCACAUGCAAGGUUUCAUUAUAGGACGGAACAGUUUCCAACAAAUAUAGAUUAUCAUAAACAUUAAGUAAACCGGUUCCUACAGCAUUUGAAUUAAUAGAUAAUGUAAAUCUAUUGUUUCCAAAUGAACAACAAUAACCUGAUUUGUCCAAAACAGAAACUGAAAUUAAAUUCCGUCUGAAAGACGGUACAACAAAAGUAUCUAUUAAAUCCAAAAAAUAACCAGAUUUCAAUAAUAAUCUAAAGUGCCCUAUUGCCUCUACUUCUACCGACUGACCGUCUCCGACAUAGAUGCAUCUUUCAGCAUCACUUGGUUUUCGGUAACUCAGGCAACCUUGCAUAGAAACACAAAUGUGAGUAGUAGCACCAGAAUCUAACCACCAUGUGUUUCUAGAUACUGAAGCUAAAUUAACUUCAGAACAGACCAAAGUAAGAAACAUACCUUUCUUAACACGCCAAGCAGCAUACUUGGUACAUUCCUUCUUAGUAUGUCCAGGCUUAUUACAGAAGAAACAUGUUACCUCAACUUUCUGUUUCUUUUGUUCUGGACCAUUAGAAGCAGCAACCUUAUUAUCCUUAUUCUUUCGUUUGCCCUUAUCCUUGGAAGUGCUAGCCAGAUGAGCAUUUUCGGUCUUGUCUUGCUUCAAUCUCUCUUCCUCUUGCACACAGAAUGAAAUGAGCUCAUUAAGAGUCCAUUUAUCCUUUUGACAGUUAUAACUGACCUUGAAUUGAUUAAAUUGUGCAGGAAGAGAGAUGAGAACCAAAUGCACGAGUAAAUCAUCAGAUAACUCGAGUUUCAAAGCCUUAAGUUUUGAAGCAAGAUGAGACAUCUCCAUGAUGUACUCCCGAACAUUACCCUUGCCUUUAUACUUCAUUGAAAUCAAGCUUGCUAAAAGCGUGCUCGUUUCAGCCUUAUCGUUUUUGGCAAAACGUUUCUGAAUUUCCGCAAGGAAGUCACUGGCAUUAGUAACCUCAUCGGUUACCGCACCCCUGAAAGCUUCUGGAAUGCCGCGCUUCAUGAUCAUAAGACUUAGCCUAUUUGAACGUUCCCACUUACCCCAAUAAACCUCAUCCUCUUGAGUACUUUCCUCAUUGAGUUCAUCGGGUUUGGGCAUUCUCAAGGCUAAGUCUAUAUCCAUGCAGCCUAAGAGAAUCAUCAUAUUCUCUUUCCAGUCCUUAAAAUUAGUCCCAUUUAACAUAGGGACAUUAUUGAUGUUGGCAGAUAUAGAAGUAGUUGAUAUAAAAGCUGAAUCGAGAACAAAAUAAAAUGAAUCAAAUAAACCAUCAUGCUCACAUAAAAUAAGCAAUUAAACACAUAAUCUUUAAAUUUAAAAGCAAAUUAUGACAUUUCAAGAUACCUAGCACAACAUUAAUAUCAAGUCUUUGGACAGUAAUAUUAACUGUAAGUGGUACUCUUGUUGUAGUGAUCAAACAUUGAUGAUAAGUUAUGUCAAAUAAUAAAUCUAUCUUUGGAUUGAUUUAUUAUUCACAUUAAGUUACCUUUAUAAUCAUCACAUAUUUAUCACCACGGGUAUGUAUGCAAUUUGACCAAAUAUUAACUUUCCUUUGGGCCAGUCAAUACCCGCAUGAAUCACAUACACACAAAUAUCUAACACCCCGAACAGACUAAUCUACACGAAAGAUGUCACUUUGGUGAUUUUCCGCUUUAAUUAGCCUAUUUAAAAUGCUAGAUCAAUAACUUAAAUAUUAAUAUCAUAAAAUGCUAUUAAAUAAUAAUAAUAAUAAUAAUAAUAAUAAUAAUAAUAAUAAUAAAAUAAAAAUUUAUCAACUCAAUAUUUCAUAAAUCUUAAUCCAUUGACAUAUAUAUAUAUAUUAAAAUAAUAACUCAAAGAAUUAAUCAAGGAGUAGGCUCUGAUACCACUUGUCAAAACUCAACCAAGAUGAAUACCCUAAUUUCAUAUAUACUGGAAUAUUUAACAAGGUGAAUACCCUAAUUUCAUAUAUACUGGAAUCUCCUGAUUAAAAACAAUGAGUAGAAAAAUAAUAGCGGAAGCAUAGCUGAAUCCAUUGAAAGAGAAACCUUAUAGGAAGAAAACCCUUUGAGAUGGUCUUCCAAUUCUAGCCACUAGAUUCUGUGUCAAUUUCUCUCUGAGAGGAUUUUCAGAAAUUGGAAUGCGUAGUCGUAGAAUGGGGACCAUAACCCUAUUUAUAAACCGCUAGGGUAGUUUUAAUUUUAUCACAAUUAUAUUUCUGCCCCUCAUAGAAAUAAUAAUUGUCUAAUGGUAUCUACACAAUAAUCUCAUGACAAUUAUACCCUUAAGCCAAUUAAUCAAUUAUUAAUUAGAUCACUAUAUUUAGGCUUAAUUAAAUGAUAGCACACACAUUUUAAUUAUUUACAUGUGUGGCCCAAAUUAUAGAUUAAUUACAAAAAAUUAAUCUAACAUCUCUCCCCAAAUGUUAUUGCUAGAAAGAUCUAUCAAAUUCACAAUUGGCAAUAUCUAUCAAAUUCCAUAUCUUGUCCCUUUACAACUAGCUCCAUGCGCUCCGAAUAGUAUUCAUGAAUUCUGGGGUCGUCAAAAUUUCUGUCUAAUAAGGUCACAAAACUUAAAGCAGUUAAAUUGCCUAAGCAUUGUGGGAUGAAUCCUGAUAAAUUGUUCAGUGCAAGAUCCAAAAUGUGGAGAUCAGAAAGCCAACACAAUUGCUCAGGAAUAUCUCCUGUGAACAUGUUGCCUCGUAGACGCAGAUGCUCCAGUGAUGGCAUUCUUUCUCCAAUCCAUUUGGGUAUCUCCCCCGAAAACCUGUUUUGUAAACUUAGAGUGAGUUCCCCAGUAAGAUUGUUGUCACCCAAUAUCAACAGAAUAAGUGAAGAUUUUGAACACAUCCAACUCGGAAUCCCACCAGACAGUUUGUUCUUGGAUAGAUCUAUGGUCUGAAGACUCUGCAAAUCAUUCCAAUUUUUUGGAAUCUUUCCAGAUAAAUGAUUGUUUGAGAGAUCGAUUACUGCCAAAUCCUUUAGUUUACUAAUUGAUGAAGGAAUGCUGCCAUUUAACAAGUUACCAGAAACAUCAAGGACUCUCAAACUCGAUGAUUCCCCGAUGUUCAAGGGAAUUGGACCUGAAAAUGAAUUGUUUCCGAGAAAGAGCAAUGUCACAUUAAACCAAAGUGGUAAUCGGCCCACCAAGCGGUUGAAGCUUAAAUCCACCAGGAAUGCUUUUGGGCUAAAGGAUAAUGAAUUGGGAAGCCUUCCAUACAAUUGGUUUCUAGAAAGAUCUAACCAUGAAAAAUCUAGUUUCCAAAGCCAUUCUGGUAUUGUAUCUGAAAUCCCCACAUUUUUAAGAACUAUUGUGUUAAGUAUUUUUUGAGUUCUAAGCCAGUUGGGGAACUUGGGAGAUAAUACAUAGCAGUUGGAAAUAUCGAUAGACAAGAGGCUGAAGGGAGGAAUCCAUUCAGGUCUCACGUGAAAACGGAGAGACUGGUUUUUGGGUGAUAAGUGUAAAGAGAAAUAUUCCAGUUUUGUAAGAUUAAUGAAAUGAAUUUCAGAUAUUACCCCUUCCCAAGAAUUCCAAUCAAGACCCAACUCAGUCAGCUCUCUAAGUUGUCCGAUACUUUUUGGAAUAGUCCCAUUCAUUAGAUUGUUUGACAAGUGAAGUCUCUUCAUCCGCAGCAAGUUUCCAAUCCAUGUUGGAAUUGGACCUGAGAUGGAGUUUUCACUCAGAUCAAGACUCUCUAAGUUGGUAAGGUGUUGAAUUGAAUUGGGGAAGGGACCAACAAAACUAUUAUUGCUCAAGUCCAAGGAUUUUAAAUUCUUAAAGAGCCCUAAUGAAUCUGGCAACUGACCACUGACUUGAUUACUGCCCAAGUUUAACUCUUCCAAGGAAUUAUUAGUGCAUGCUGAUAAUCGAUUCAGGAAUUCAAUUCCUUCACCUCCAAUACUAUUGUAUGAGAGAUCUAAGGUCACCAAGUUGCGAAGGCAUCGCAAGUUAACAUGGGGAAUCGGACCUUUAAUUGUACCACCAUUUAAAUAAAGAUCCGUAAGGGUACUGACGUUAAACAACCAGCCAGGCAAAGUAGUGUUGAAAUUGUUGUAGGAGAGAUCAAUGACCAAAACCGAAGUCAAAUUAACAAAUGUAUUGGAGUACUGAGGGAAGUGACUGAGUUCACAAACGGACAAAUGUAAUUCUAACAAAAAUGGAAGCAUGUUUACAGCUCGCAUCCAAUUUGUGGUUGUUUUACUAAGGUCCACAUACCCCAGAUCAAGGUAUUUUAAAGAAGAAAGACCAGAAAGCCAAUUUAAAUUAGAAACCCUCAUUGGAUAAUCUCCUCCUCCAAAAAGAUCAAGAUAACGUAACUGUGAUAAAUUUCCAAGAUGAGGAGGAAUCAUCCCACCAAAUCGUGCAUUAGAGAGAUUAAGGUAUCUGAACCUUUCAAAUGAGCCCAAGAAAUUUGGAAUUGGAAUUCCUUGAAAAUCAUUAAGACUUAGGUCUAGGUAAGUUAAAUGUUUCAAGUCAAGUAAGGAACCACUUAUCUCACCACCCAAAAGAAAGAAGCCACGAUCUCUGAGGUCAACCUUGACAACAUUCCCUGUCCGAUUGUUGCAAUCCACACCUGUCCACUUGCAGCAAUCAGAACCAAUCCAGGAAGAAAGCCUACCUGAAGGAUCAUACAGGCCAUGUUUGAAUUCAAGAAGCGCUUUCCGCUCUUCCUCAAUGCAAGCUUUGUUGAGAUCAAUGUCAUUAGAAUUGAUUGUAAGAGCUUCAACCAUGAGAAACUUCAAAAACAGAGAAAGCAAAAGAAUAAGGAGUGGAACGGUGGUUUUCCUACUUGCCAUUGAUGAAUGCAAAGUUGCACAAUUCUGAAUUGAAACCAUAUAAAUAAAUAAGAUUAGAGUCUUGGUCUAAUUUGUUUAACUAUUUCAAGUCUUCAUGCCAUCUAUAAAUAAAUGCAACAAAGACCUUUCAGCCAUAUAUAUCUGCAAUUAAUUUUACAUGUCACUUCUGACCACAAUUUUAUCCUUCUCUUUCUUCAUAACAUCUUAUGGCUAUUGAAACAUGUAUUAUUAAAGAAUCUAGACGGCAAUAAAAGCAUGAUUUAUGCCCAAAAAUACCCACAAAGUAAUGGCAUAUUAUAUGAUUCAAGUGUCUAAAGCUCUAUGCUAUGUAAGUGGAGUAUUAUCUUUUAAAAAUAUUUCUUGAAUGAGCCACCAUCAUCACAAAUUUUUUAAAAUAUGAUCACCUUCACUGUUUUUUUUUUCUCUUUCAAAAAUGUGAUUUUUUUUUUUUUUUGAGAAAUCGUUUCAUUUUUUCUAUCAUGCUAAUCCUUAAAUUAUAUUAAUCAAUGAGCAUUUGGCACGCUAAUUCUAUUUACAUUGGAUUCAGUUUCAAUCCUUCUCAAUGUUAAUACAUUUUUAAUUUUGAAAAAUAUAUGAUGCACGAUAAUCUAAACAAAUAAUAAAUUUUUCUCUAUUUUAUUGAUCUAAUAGAUUGAUUUAGAAAAUAUGUUAGGCCAAUACUAGUGUUUUAUUGAUCUAUUUUAUUAAAUAAAACAUUUUUUUACUCCUGCCAAAAUUUUCUCAUACGAACUAUUUACUAAGUCUAAUAUGGAUCAUGUUGAAGAUAAGUACAUGAAACUUCCUACUCCAUAUUAAGCAUUAUAUAUGGUGAAAAUAAAAUAGAAUUUUAAAUAAUGCUUUAACAUAUAAUGUAUGCAUGUAUUAAAAAAAAAAAAACAUCUUUUGACUCUUGCCAAAAUUUUCUCUUGUGGACGGUUAACUAAGUCUAAUAUGGAUAGUGUAGGAAGAAUAAUUAAUUGAAGGAAGGUACAUGAAACUUUCUACUCCAUGUUAAGUAUUAUAUAUGGUGAAAAUAAAAUAGAAAUUUAAAUAAUAUUUAAUGUAUGAUGCAUGUAUUAAAAAUAGAAAAACAAAAACAUUUUUUGACUUUAGCCAAAAUUUUCUCCUGUCGUUUGCUAAGUCUAAUAUGGAUCGCGUAGGAAGAAUAAUUAAUUGAAGGAAGGUACAUGAAACUUCCUAUUUUAAGUAUUAUAUAUGGUGACAAUAAAAUAAAAUUUUAAAUAGUAUUUUAAUGUAUGAUGCAUGUAUUAAAAAUAGAAAAACAAAAACAUUUUUUGACUUUUGCCAAAAUUUUCUUAUGUCGUUUACUAAGUCUAAUAUGGAUCGUGUAGGAAGAAUAAUUAAUUGAAGGAAGGUACAUGAAACUUCCUAUUUUAAGUAUUAUAUAUGGUGAAAAUAAAAUAAAAUUUUAAAUAAUAUUUUAAUGUAUGAUGUAUGUAUUAAAAAAAAAACAUUUUUUGACUUUUGCCAAAAUUUUCUCAUGUGGACCAUUUACAUGGUUUAAUAUGGAUCGUGUAAUAAGAAAAAUCAAUAUUUUCAAAAUUGGAUCGGUCAUUGAACUAGAAAAGUUAUCGAUUCAUGGUUCACUAGUCAAACCAACGAUCAAACCGAUGAUGUCAUAAAUAUAUAAUUUAUAAAUUAUUAAAAUUUAAAAGAAUUAUAAAAAUAAAAAUAAUAAUUUAUAUAUUAUUUUAAAAUUAAAAUUUUAUUUGAAAAUAAAAAAAUUAGAUUCAAAUUAGAAAUUUAAAUUAAAAUCAUAAUUUUAAUUUUGAAAUUUUGAAAUUUAUUUUUAAAUCAAAAACUUAUUUUAAAAUCAUAAUUUAUUUAAAAUUGUGAUGUUUUGAUUAAUUUAAAUUAAAAUCAUAAGUUUUAAAAAUCAUAAAGUAAAAAAAUAAUAAAUAUAAAAGAAAAUAAAUAAUAAUUAGAUGAGGUAAAAAAAAAAAUAAAUAAAUCUAGAAAGGAAUGGAAUAAAUGGUGGCCCAAAAUGGGAAGAAGGAAGGAUUAGGAGGAGGUGGUUUUUAGAUGGGGGUGGAACUUCUAGUGGGGAAGGGUUUUCGCCACGAGGGGAUAGGGGGUUUUGCCAUUGAGGGAGCGACGUCUAACCGACCAGUGGCCGAUGACAGCAACUCAGUGUCGAUGAAAAUAGGAGGUAGUAGCUAGGGCAACCGUGCGAGAGGGGUUGUUGGGAAGAAAAAAAAAUGAUUUAGAAAAGUUAUCGAUUCAUAAUUCACUAGUCAAACCGACGAUCAAACCAAUGAUGUCAUAAAUAUAUAAUUUAUAAAUUAUUAAAAUUUAAAAGAAUUAUAAAAAUAAAAAUAAUAAUUUAUAUAUUAUUUUAAAAUUAAAAUUUUAUUUGAAAAUAAAAAAAUUAGAUUCAAAUUAGAAAUUUAAAUUAAAAUCAUAAUUUUAAUUUUGAAAUUUUGAAAUUUAUUUUUAAAUCAAAAACUUAUUUUAAAAUCAUAAUUUAUUUAAAAUUGUGAUGUUUUGAUUAAUUUAAAUUAAAAUCAUAAGUUUUAAAAAUCAUAAAGUAAAAAAAUAAUAAAUAUAAAAGAAAAUAAAUAAUAAUUAGAUGAGGUAAAAAAAAAAAUAAUAAUAAAUCUAGAAAGGAAUGGAAUAAAUGGUGGCCCAAAAUGGGAAGAAGGAAGGAUUAGGAGGAGGUGGUUUUUAGAUGGGGGUGGAACUUCUAGUGGGGAAGGGUUUUCGCCACGAGGGGAUAGGGGGUUUUGCCAAGGGAGCGACGUCUAACCGACCAGUGGCCGAUGACAACAACUCAGUGUCGAUGAUAAUAGGAGGUAGUAGCUAGGGCAACCGUGCGAGAGGGGUUGUUGGGAAGAAAAAAAAUGAUUGAACCGGAUGAUUCGGAGGGAAUCGUUUGGUUUGUCCAGUUUGUCAGUCAAACCGUCAGUUCAAUCGAUCCAAUUCUGAUUUGACUACCUUCCAACCUAAUAGACCAAACCGAACAGAAAUCGUUAGUAACUGGCGAUCGAACCGAUUAGACCAACCAGUCCGGAUUGAUUUUUAAAAACAUGAGAAUAAUUAAUUGAAGAAAGCUACAUGAAACUUCUUACUCCAUGUUAAGUAUUAUGGUGAAAAUAAAUAUAAAUUUAAAUAAUAUUUUAAGUAUGAUGCAUGUAUUUUAUCUUUAAAAAAAAAAAUUAGUGUCUUGCAAGAAUUUUCUCUUGUGGAUCAUUUACUAAUUCUAACAUGGAUUGUGUACAAAGUAUAAUUACUUGAAGGAAGCAAAAUGAAACUUCCUACUCCACGUUAAGUAUUAUGGCCAAAAAUAUAUAUAUAUAUAUAUAUAUAUAUAUAUAUAUAUAUAUAUAUAUCAUGAAAAUUUAUUUUAUUAUAUAUAUAAAGGGCUAGAAAAAUGCAUAUAUAGUGGGUGUCAUUUUUUUUUUGUUUAAAAUAUGAAUACACCUGAAUUUGACUUAAAUCUAAAUAAAAUUGAAUGUUAUUAAGUGUUUAAAUUGUGUGUUUUUACUAAUAUUUGAAGUAUUAAGCUUAUUUAUUUUUACAUAUUAAAUAUAUAUAUAUAUAUAUAUAUAUAUAAUUACUAUAUUUUAUUAUUUUAGUUUUAAAAUUAAUAAUAUAAAAACAUUAAUUUAAUAUAUUUUUAAAUAUUCCAAACUAUCAUAAUUUAUCACCAUAAUAAAAAAUUUAUAAUGAUUAAUUAUAUAAUUAGUAGGCAAUUAACAAAUAGAUUUCUAGUUAUGUUUGGUUGUUAAGAAAAUAUUAAAAAAUUUCUAAGUUAAAACUUAUUUUUAUAUAACCUAUCUUUGGAGAAAGAAGGGGUGAAGGUUUUAAUGAAUUUGAAAACUAUAUAUUUAGAUUUUGAUACUUUUUCCUAAAUUCAAAAUUCUGAAAUUAAAAAAUUGAUCUAAAAAAUAUUCAUAAAAAUAUUUUUAUUCUAGUGAAUAAUUGGUGAGUAAGUUCAAAUGUAUGAACCUACCAAACCAACUUCAAACCUGUCCAAUCCAACCUAAUUAGUUGGGUUUGUUCAUUUUGGCUUUUCAUAGCAAUUCAUGAGAAUAUUUUUAUUCUACAUUAAUAGAGAAAAUAAAUAAAAACAAAUUUAAGUCAUACUUAGAUUUUUUUAUGACAAAUUUACUAAUUCAUGGUAGAUUAAUUUAUUAUUCUAAUUACACAAUGUUUAAGUAGUUUAAUUUUUUAUUUUAAAAAACAAGAAAUAUCUAAAAAAUUUAAAAAUAAAUUUGGUUUAUUUUGAAGGAGGAAUUAGAUUUGAAUAUUAUAAUAAAUUUAAUAGUUGAAAAAAAUGAAAUUUUAUUUUCUCAAAAAAUUUCACUAUUCCUCUUAAAAUAAAAUUAUCUCUGAAAAGUAAUAACCUAAAAAAAAAAACCAUCAUAAAAAUAUAUUAAUUAUAUUACAUGGAAUUUAUGUUUUAAAGAAAUAAUAUCAAUAUAAAUUCCAAAUUUUGAAGUUAUUUCUUUAAUAAAUAACUUAAAAGUUUGAUAAUUAAAUUGAAAUUAUCUUUUGAAGAAAUUUCCCAUUUUACUUUUCACAAUUUCCUACAAAGUAAGAAAUUAUUUUUCAAUUGUCAUAUUUUAAAAAAUAUUAUAUUUUGUUCAAAAUCCCCAAGGAAUAGAUCCAUUGAAUAUUAUUUCACACGUGUUUAUUGUUCACCAAAUUUUCAAUUAUCAAAUUAAUUAAUGUAAUGAAAAUUAUUGAAAUAUUACUUCUUGUUUUUUUAAUCUAACUAGUACCGGUCCUUAUGCGCAUAGGUUAGGGUAUUUUUAUAUACCCAUAAAAAGAACACCUUGUUGGUCCAAUUAAACAGUUUAAAUUGCUUGCUUUCUUUUUGUAGUGUCUAAAAUGAUGGUUGUUUGCAAUUCAGGUGUUGCUUUCGAUAUGUUCUCUGUUGAUGUACAAGACGACUGAAGCAAGUAUGAGACAACUGCAAGGAGCUGGACCCAAAAGUAGGUCAUGGGUCAAGUUUUGCAUUUUUAUGUGUGGGGGCAGACCCUUUCUAUAUCUCUCUCUAAUCUCUAUAUCUCUCUUCAAUCCUAAAAUGGACAAAAAAGAAAGGUCCAAAACAUGCUCUCAAUUGAAAAGAAGAAAUCUCUCUAUGUCUCUCUAUCUCUCUCUUCAAUCCUAAAAUGGACAAGAAAGAAAGGUCCAAAACAUGCCGGCCCUCAAUUGAAAAGAAGAAAAAACAAAGACUCAACUUUUAUAUUGUUUGAAUGCAAUCACACUCGUGGAUUUUCUAAUGUUUUGAUUCUAUUCUAACCGAGCACUUACUAAUUUUGAUAAUUAAAGAAGACAAAUUUUCCAUUAUUAAAGUUUAGGAGUGAAAGUGUGGACAAUUGCCCUGGUUUGAUUCGUUCAAUUUUAAGUAUAAAAUCAAAUCAAAUCAAAUCAGUCUUACAUGUUUUUAUGUAUGAAGAAUUGAACAAAUUAGUUACCAAAUCUUUAAAGUUUAGUCUUGCCGAUAUGAGAGAAAAAACAAAAUUCCUUGUCUUGUCCACAUGUCGUGGACAAUUUGUUUGAAUGAGGAAUCCAUGUCACCAAUUAAGCUCUAAGGUCACUGUCCCAAGGGAAAGGUUCAUGAUGAAAAAUUCAAAUGGUGGUUUAAUAUAUAAUAUAUAAUUUAUUAUUAUUAUUAUUAUUACUUUAUUUUAUUUUAAGAUGAGAGGUUCUUCAAGCAAGUGUAUUAGGCCAAUUUCUUCUUUUGUUACAUCAUUUAUUUAUAAAAAUAAGAUAGAUAUUUAAAAUAAAAUACAUUCAUAUAAGAUAAUAAAUAUGAAAAUAAUUUAGGAAAAAAAUACACUAAGAUAAUAAACAACCAUUGGAAGUAAAAUUUUAUUUUGCUUAUAUAUGGUAUAUCUUUUUUAAUAGUAAAUACUAUAAUAUAAUUAUUUAAUAAAUUUAGAAAUAUUAAUAUAUUUAUAUUUUAUUGUUAUAAUAUUGUAAAGAUAGAAACACAUUUUGAUUAUUUGUAUUUUUUAAUUUUAUGAUGAUUAUGAUUCGUCCCUAGCAGCGGCAAUGGCAAUGGCACCAUCUGAUUCGGGGUUCGAUCCCCGGCAACGGUGCCAUUUGAUUCGGCCCAAUUAGUGUCUCAGCUGAUUCGUGUCCAGCUGGUGCUCCUUGAUUGAGGGAUUAAUCAACAAAAUUUAUAACCUAUUACACCAUAUACUAGGGUAGCAAAGACAAAGCUACUAUAGCAUAGUGGCUCUAGGAUCGUUCACUGGGAUGGGUUUUCACUUCACAAAUGAUAUUAAUUCAAAGCUGAAUUGGUGUCUUUUCAUUUCAAGGUUAGCUUUAAAAGAAAACAUAAAGAUGUUUGAAUGAAAAGAGAUUGGUUUUAAGCUAACCAAAAAUAGUAAAUGAUUUUACUUACAAAGAAAAGUGUUUCUUGGAGUUUCAGAUCACUAGGCUUAGAUUCCUCAUACAAAAAGGGAGUUCCGGUCACUUGUUUCUUNNNNNNNNNNNNNNNNNNNNNNNNNNNNNNNNNNNNNNNNNNNNNNNNNNNNNNNNNNNNNNNNNNNNNNNNNNNNNNNNNNNNNNNNNNNNNNNNNNNNUCUUCAUUAAAAACUAAAACAACAAAACUUCCAAAUUAUGCAUGUGGAAACUUACCCGGCUUUCCUCACUCCAAAAGACAAAAAGCUUAGCCUCUCAUCCUCUGAGGAAAAAUCCUCAAAGUUUGGUUGGCUAGAAAUAAAAAGAAAUGAAAAAUGAAAGAGAAGGGAAAAACAGAGCAAGGCUCUGUAUAUUCUAUAUAUUGAUCGAUGGAUUACAUAUAUGAUGAUUUUACAGUGGAUGCAAGGGAGUUUAUAUAGGAAGGUAAUUUACCCUUCCUUGGAUACUUUCUAGCUAAGGAAUUACAUGAGUGGUUGAAUACAAGGAGAAAAUGGAAAUUAUACAAAAAUAUCUAAAGAAAAGAUCUAAAAGAGUCGGUGCAUAAAUAUCGGGAAGCUCCAGGAAUCAUUUCGCAAGAGAAAAUGGUGUCUGCGAGAUUUCGCAGACACUCAAGAGGGCUGUGAAAUCACUUCGCAACAUCAAGCUAUUCUCGUAGGGCUGCGAAGUUGGCUUCCACCUUGAUGUUCUCAGCUUCCAGCUUGCAGCAUAUAUCGGGCAACUUCAGGAGGAAAUCCACAACACUGUACAAAAAGGCUGCGAAAUUCUCGCAACAAAAGGCUGAUUCCGCAACACUUUAGAGUGAUUGACUUGCAAUGGCUGUAACUUCUAUAUUUCAACUCCGAAUUGCGCACCGUUUGAAGCAUUGGAUUCUUGACUUCCUGAGCUUUGAAAUGGUAUAUAGAAUGUAGAAAAUGGACUUUGGGAAGUGCUCCAAAAGUGCACAAGAAGACUGCAGCUGCUGUCCUAUGUUUUCUUCACUCUGUUUUUCCUCUCUCCUUACUUCUCUCCUUGCAUACUUUGAACGACUUUGGCAAAGGGAUAUGGGGCUCCAAAGCUUGGUUCUUCAUGAAUUUGAGCUCUUCAUAGCUUUGCCAUGGUUUCCAAAUAACUCUCCUCAAUCUUGGAUUGUUUUGGUGAUCAAAUUACUAACAAAAACACCAAAACUUACACAAUUUGGUUAGAAUUGAUUGCAAGGGUCCUUAACAUGUUAAUUGAGUUAAAAGGCAAUAACUACUACUCAAAAGUGUUUAAAAGGAUUAAUUACAAGCUACAAAAUAGCACUUUUUGAGUAGUAAUCACUCCCCCCAACUGACAUAUUGCUAGUCCCUUAGCAAUGAAGGAGAGAAAAAUAAAAUAAAAGUACCAUAAUUUACAACAUCAUGCUGAUCACUUCAAAAAAUGUUUAAGUGGCAUGACUGAUCAAACUCUCACAUGGAACAUUAAAGAAAUAAAACUCAAACUUCAACAAGAGUUAUCAAAUAACUUGUCUAAUCACAAUUCUUAAAGAAAAGGCAUUAUGCAAAUUUAAGCUUUAAAAUCAUUUCCACUUCCAAAGGAUCAAACCUUACUCUUCCACAAAAAUCUAAGUGUUAUUUAUUAGCUUCCGAAUAUAGUAUGUUAAACUAAUCUCUCCCCCCAACCUAGUUCUUUUUCAAAGCUUAGCAAACUAAUCAACCUCCAAUAGGCUAAGAACGCACCUCUUUUUUCACAAUUUUUUUCAUUGUAGGAGUACAAGGCUUAAAGGUAUUAUUUUUUUUAAUUGUCCAUGUAACGGGGGUCCAUCGAUGACUCCCAACCAAUUAAGGUUUAGGGCAUCAAGCUUUAAAGAUCUUUCAACCACUAACUCCUCGGAUUUUACCCCGGACUUUUGAGAAUGAAUUUUAAUACCCAAACACCUACAUUAUGCUAAACUCCACCUAUUCACCCUUGUAACGAGCAUUGAGGUCGGUGACUCCCAACCAAUGAAGGCUUAGGGCACCAGGUUUUAAAGAUUUUCACCAUAUACCCCUCAGACCUUGCUCGGGUUUCAAGGCAAGCAAACAUUUUUUCUUUCUUUCUUUUUUCUCUUCAAAGACUCAUUGGCCUUUUAUAAGGUGUCCCAACACUAUUAAAUAAGGUCAAAGGUACCAAGUCUAAAAUUUUCCUAAGUCAAGAGGGAAAUAGUUUUUCAUCUUAUACUCGGAACCUAUUGUGCACAGUGUGUGGAUAGCUUAAAGUGGAAGAACUAAGGUUGACUUCAAUAGAAGUUUCAACAAUUCAUCAACUUUAGUAAGCAUAAUACAAACUCUAAGUCAAGUAAAAAGACAAAAAUUCAAUUUCUUCCAUUUCAUUUUGAAAAUUUUUCCUUAAUAACCAUGGAGAGUAGAAUAAAAACUUAAAAAAUUUAAAAUUAAGCAAAAAACAACUAAAUUACCAAAAUAACUUAGCAUUAUUAACAAUACUUACUUCCUCAACUCUCCCCCCAACCGAGAUGAACAUUGUCCUCAAUAUUUGAAUUUGAAAAUAAGGAGGAAGGAAGUGGUACCUCUUUAGUGACAUGGAGUUUGAGUCGUAUAGGAGAAACCACAUGUUUCAAAGAAAGCAUAAGAGUUAGUGAGUAGAGGAAAUAGAAAAAUGCCAAGUUUAAACAAAAAAUGAUGUCUAUGUAUGAUGUAUCAUCAGUAAUACAUCCAAUCCCAAAAUGUAAGACAUCAAAACAUGGAAUUAUCUAUAUUAAUAUAAUAUGUAAAGACAAAAAAAUAAAAAGAUGAUCAAGUAAUGGUAAGGUCCUGUUGAGCUGAUGCAUCUGUGGUGGCCUCUUGAGUGGGUUGGAUCAAGACUUUGGCCUCUGUUCUGGUAGUCUCCUUAGGUGGCAUAGUCUUCUCAACUGGAGCUCUCAGUUGGUAGUUAUGGGAUUUGAUGGUUUAAGGAGGUCAAUAAUGGAGUGAGAGACUUUGUGUGUGUGAUCUCAAGGUGCUCGGGGCUCUCCUCUUCAGAUGCAUGGUCGCGGGGCUCUGUUGGCAUUUUAGCAACUUCCCUUGGCUUUGCAAAGUGUUUUUGCAAAUCACCCUCCAUUUCACAAGUCAAUUUCGCAAUUUGCAAGCCAUUUCUAAGCUUGGAGGUGAUUUCGCAACCAUUUUGAAGCUUGGAGAUCAUUUCGCAUCCAUUUCGCAGCUCAAAAGUGAUUUUGCAGCCCAAAAUUGAUUUCGCAGCUCAUUUCGCAGCUGCAAAAUGAGUGUACGGGGCUUCGAAAUGGCUCUCAUGUGCCAAAAAAUGGUUUCACAGCUGUAUCGCAGCUUCGAAAUGAGGGGAACUGUGCUGCAAAUGGCACUCGUGUGCCAAAAAGUGGUUUCGCAGCUGCGAAACACCCUUCCAAAUGGCGUCUUGGCUGCGAAAUUCUCGCUCAACUUUGCGCGCUUGUCUUCAAACGACCAUAAAUUCUUCAUUUUACCUCCAAAUUGCAUACCGUUUGAAGCGCUGGACUCCUGACUUCCCAAGAUUUCAAACAAGAUAUCGUAUGCAUAAUUUGAGCUCCAGGAAGUGCUUCAAAAAUGUGUCCAACAGUAGCGAAAUGGAGGUGCAACAUUUCCGUUCAUGGUUUGCACAGUCAUCUUCAAACGGCCAUAACUUUUCCGUUUCAAAUCCAAAUCCAGCACCGUUUGAAUCUGUGGACUCGUGACUUCCCAAGCUUUCAAAUGAGAUAUUGCAUGCAUAAUUUGAACUUCAGGAAGUGAUCGAGAUGUGUCCAACAAUUGCCGAAAUGGGGUGCGGCUGUGAAAUUGAGAUUUUUCACAUUUUGGGAUUUCGCAGCCAUUUCGCAGCCAUUUCGCAGCUGCGAAAUGAGGGUCACUGUGCUGCGAAAUGGCACUCGUAUGCCAAAAGUGGGUUUCGCAGCCGCNNNNNNNNNNNNNNNNNNNNNNNNNNNNNNNNNNNNNNNNNNNNNNNNNNNNNNNNNNNNNNNNNNNNNNNNNNNNNNNNNNNNNNNNNNNNNNNNNNNNNNNNNNNNNNNNNNNNNNNNNNNNNNNNNNNNNNNNNNNNNNNNNNNNNNNNNNNNNNNNNNNNNNNNNNNNNNNNNNNNNNNNNNNNNNNNNNNNNNNNNNNNNNNNNNNNNNNNNNNNNNNNNNNNNNNNNNNNNNNNNNNNNNNNNNNNNNNNNNNNNNNNNNNNNNNNNNNNNNNNNNNNNNNNNNNNNNNNNNNNNNNNNNNNNNNNNNNNNNNNNNNNNNNNNNNNNNNNNNNNNNNNNNNNNNNNNNNNNNNNNNNNNNNNNNNNNNNNNNNNNNNNNNNNNNNNNNNNNNNNNNNNNNNNNNNNNNNNNNNNNNNNNNNNNNNNNNNNNNNNNNNNNNNNNNNNNNNNNNNNNNNNNNNNNNNNNNNNNNNNNNNNNNNNNNNNNNNNNNNNNNNNNNNNNNNNNNNNNNNNNNNNNNNNNNNNNNNNNNNNNNNNNNNNNNNNNNNNNNNNNNNNNNNNNNNNNNNNNNNNNNNNNNNNNNNNNNNNNNNNNNNNNNNNNNNNNNNNNNNNNNNNNNNNNNNNNNNNNNNNNNNNNNNNNNNNNNNNNNNNNNNNNNNNNNNNNNNNNNNNNNNNNNNNNNNNNNNNNNNNNNNNNNNNNNNNNNNNNNNNNNNNNNNNNNNNNNNNNNNNNNNNNNNNNNNNNNNNNNNNNNNNNNNNNNNNNNNNNNNNNNNNNNNNNNNNNNNNNNNNNNNNNNNNNNNNNNNNNNNNNNNNNNNNNNNNNNNNNNNNNNNNNNNNNNNNNNNNNNNNNNNNNNNNNNNNNNNNNNNNNNNNNNNNNNNNNNNNNNNNNNNNNNNNNNNNNNNNNNNNNNNNNNNNNNNNNNNNNNNNNNNNNNNNNNNNNNNNNNNNNNNNNNNNNNNNNNNNNNNNNNNNNNNNNNNNNNNNNNNNNNNNNNNNNNNNNNNNNNNNNNNNNNNNNNNNNNNNNNNNNNNNNNNNNNNNNNNNNNNNNNNNNNNNNNNNNNNNNNNNNNNNNNNNNNNNNNNNNNNNNNNNNNNNNNNNNNNNNNNNNNNNNNNNNNNNNNNNNNNNNNNNNNNNNNNNNNNNNNNNNNNNNNNNNNNNNNNNNNNNNNNNNNNNNNNNNNNNNNNNNNNNNNNNNNNNNNNNGCAAUUCCUCUUGAUUUUGAUCAUCCAAAAACCUAUAUUACAUCAAAACAAACUAGAAUUAAAGCAUUGAAAUCAAAAUUAAAGCAUUGAAAUCAAAAUUAAAACAAGUAAAAAAAAACAAAACAAAAAGAUAUGGACUAGCUAGUCUUUAAAAAGACUAAGUCCAUCAAAAAAUUUGAUCCUGAUUUAGCUUGCCCGGAUCCCAUAUGAAGUUUGCAUUCCUCCCUUGAGACGUUCUCUGUAUGAUUUUGCCAUACAAAGCUUGGAGAAAAGGUGGAAGCAUGUGUUUCUUCAUCAAUUCUUUCUUGAUGACUAUCCUCUGUGGUUUUCUUUGUACAUUAACCUCAUAGUCAUCUUUCUCUAUGCUUUUCCCCUUUUUCUUUCCUUUGAUUUCCUCCCUAUUUUCUUUCUCUGUUUCACUCUCUACCUUAUGCUUUAGCUUGCAUGUGGGCAAAUCAACCUCUUUACCACUCAAAGUGAUAACCGUUUUAACUUCCUUCACCAUUGAAGAUUCUUCAUCUUAAGCCUCCAUUUCAUGGAUACUCAUGGAAUUUUGAUAAGGUUGAGAAGGAGAGUUUUCUUUCUCUUGCACUGUGUUGAGGUUGGCUAACCUUGAGAUUGAAUCUUGGAGAAUAUCUAACUUUUGGGCCAUAUCAUUUUGCAUUUCAUCCAUCCUUUUAUUCAAAGUACUCUCCAUACUGUCAAUUCUUUGAUUGAUUUGAGCAUUGAUGGCUUCUUGCUUUCCAACAAAAUCUCCCACGACCUUGCAAAGAUUCACCAUAGCUUGUUCAAGGAUUGAGGCUUGCUGUGGUGCUUGAGCAGGUUGCUGAUACUGAGGUGGCUGUGGUUUCCAAGAGAAAUUUGGAUGGUCCCUCCAAUUGGAAUUGUAGGUGUUGCAAUCACGAAACAUUUCCCUCUCGGCUGGAAUGGUAGGACACUCAUCCACCAAGUGCUCAUAAGAUAGACAAAUGGCACAAGGCAUAGCUUGCAAUGGUGUCUGAGAAAUGGCUUGCACUGGUUGCAUCUGGUUCAUUUCUAGCUCUUCCAAUCUCCUUUCCAUAGUUGCAAUCUCUGCCUUCAUGUUCAUACCAUCAUUCAAAAUAUACAUCUCACCCUUAGCUUUAGGUUGAGACGUCAUUCUUCCCUUAUCUCUAGCAUUUGGUUCAUCCCAUUCUCUUGAAAAUUCAGCCACAUAACUCAAGAAGUUCAUGGCUUCUUCUGCUAUCUCGUAAUCAAUAUAGCAUGCACAACUAGCAAUUUGUGAAUUAAAAACAGAGAAUACAAAAGAAAACAAAAGAAAAACAAUUCAAAGAAAGAAAAUUAAGGUAAACUAAAACCUAAAUAAAAGGUAUACUAAAACAUGAACAAUAAAGAAAUAAAAAGAGUUAGUAAAAGGAAAAGAAAAGUCACCAAACUUGUGAUGGAGAUCACAAGUACUCUUAAAAGAUCAUAUCACUGCAAAGUGGCACCAUCCCCGGCAACGGCGCCAUUUGAUUCGUCCCUAGCAGCGGCAAUGGCAAUGCCACCAUCUGAUUCGGGGUUCGAUCCCCGGCAACGGCGCCAUUUGAUUCGUGCCCAAUUGGUGUCGCAGCUGAUUCGUGUCCAACUGGUGCUCCUUGAUUGAGGGAUUAAUCAACAAAAUUUAUAACCUAUUACACCAUAUACUAGGGUAGCAAAGACAAAGCUACUAUAGCAUAGUGGCUCUAGGAUCGUUCACUAGGAUGGGUUUUCACUUCACAAAUGAUAUUAAUUCAAAGCUGAAUUGGUGUCUUUUCAUUUCAAGGUUAGCUUUAAAAGAAAACAUAAAGAUGUUUGAAUGAAAAGAGAUUGAUUUUAAGCUAACCAAAAAUAGUAAAUGAUUUUACUUACAAAGAAAAGUGUUUCUUGGAGUUUCAGAUCACUAGGCUCAGAUUCCUCAUACAAAAAGGGAGUUCCGGUCACUUGUUUCUUUUCCUCGCAUUAGAGAAUUAACAUAUAGUUCCUUCUCCAACCGGUUGCUAUACAGAUGCUUCCCAUUAAUGGGUUCAAACACUAAAUCCCUCUCACUGAUGCAACUUGCAAUGGUUCAUGCCUCUCACGAGCACUUACCAUUCAAGAUGAUCUUUAACCUUGGAUUACCCGUCAAAAGCUCGCAAGAGAUAACUAAUGGAUGUCUCCUUGGAGUCCAAAAGCUUACCAAGUGUUGGCAAUUCCAGAAAAUCCUACCUUCAAGUCACCUCCCAAAGGCUCGCAAGAGGUAAACUAGUGCAUCUCCAUGGUUGGAGAUCACUUGCCUUACCAAGUGUUGGCCCAGGUGAUUUAAAGGCGUUUUAAGUUAACUAAAAACAUAGAAAUCACUAACGGGUCACACUUUCUCUUCAUUAAAAACUAAAACAACAAAACUUCCAAAUUAUGCAUGUGGAAACUUACCCGGCUUUCCUCACUCCAAAAGACAAAAAGCUUAGCCUCUCAUCCUCUGAGGAAAAAUCCUCAAAGUUUGGUUGGCUAGAAAUAAAAAGAAAUGAAAAAUGAAAGAGAAGGGAAAAACAGAGCAAGGCUCUGUAUAUUCUAUAUAUUGAUCGAUGGAUUACAUAUAUGAUGAUUUUACAGUGGAUGCAAGGGAGUUUAUAUAGGAAGGUAAUUUACCCUUCCUUGGAUACUUUCUAGCUAAGGAAUUACAUGAGUGGUUGAAUACAAGGAGAAAAUGGAAAUUAUAUAAAAAUAUCUAAAGAAAAGAUCUAAAAGAGUCGGUGCAUAAAUAUCGGGAAGCUCCAGGAAUCAUUUCGCAAGAGAAAAUGGUGUUUGCGAGAUUUCGCAGACACUCAAGAGGGCUGCGAAAUCACUUCGCAACAUCAAGCUAUUCUCGUAGGGCUGCGAAGUUGGCUUCCACCUUGAUGUUCUCAGCUUCCAGCUUGCGGCAUAUAUCGGGCAACUUCAGGAGGAAAUCCACAACACUGUACAAAAAGGCUGCGAAAUUCUCGCAACAAAAGGCUGAUUCCGCAACACUUUAGAGUGAUUGACUUGCAAUGGCUGUAACUUCUAUAUUUCAACUCCGAAUUGCACACUGUUUGAAGCAUUGGAUUCUUGACUUCCUGAGCUUUGAAAUGGUAUAUAGAAUGUAGAAAAUGGACUUCGGGAAGUGCUCCAAAAGUGCACAAGAAGACUGCAGCUGCUGUCCUAUGUUUUCUUCACUCUGUUUUUCCUCUCUCCUUGCUUCUCUCCUUGCAUACUUUGAACGACUUUGGCAAAGGGAUAUGGGGCUCCAAAGCUUGGUUCUUCAUGAAUUUGAGCUCUUCAUAGCUUUGCCAUGGUUUCCAAAUAACUCUCCUCAAUCUUGGAUUGUUUUGGUGAUCAAAUUACUAACAAAAACACCAAAACUUACACAAUUUGGUUAGAAUUGAUUGCAAGGGUCCUUAACAUGUUAAUUGAGUUAAAAGGCAAUAACUACUACUCAAAAGUGUUUAAAAGGAUUAAUUACAAGCUACAAAAUAGCACUUUUUGAGUAGUAAUCAGAUUAAAUUAUAAUAUUAUAAUUUGUUUUCUUCUACUUUCGUGAAAUCAAAUAUAGGAAAAGUACUCUUAGACAUUUCAAAGCAAUUAUUGUUGAUUUUAAAUUAACAAGAUAAAAAACAUUAAUAGUUUGUCAAAAAUUGUUAUUCGAUUUUCUAUUUGCAACAUGAAGAUCCAAAAAAUUCAUAGUUCCUAUAAUGUUUGAACAUAUCUUUACCAUUUUUUUUCUUCUUGAUCUAACAACAAGCUUGACUGCACAAAAGUGAUGAGGGUGAUGUUCUUCCUAUGCUCUCCUCUCCUUUUUUUAACUUUUAUAUCCCCCCUCAACAGUAUAGUUUUAAGGUAUAUCACUUUAAUCCUGAUGGACUAAAGGCCCAUAAUUUAUCUCAAUGGGUCAAAGUGAAGCCAUGGGCCUCUUCACAGUACGUUAAAUUGAUUAUGGCCCAAAACAAUACCCAUGCACAACCAAAUAUAGUUUACAAUAGACCUAGUUCACAGUACAUUAAAUCGUUUUUCCAACUACAUUGCUACCAUCAUUGACGUCCUCAUCACUAACGAGGCCUAGACUCCGAUUCUCUCUUUUCUUCUCCGAAAUACUCUUGUGUAUUUCAAAUUCAGAGCCAAAAUCUGGUCAAAGAGAAACAACAACCCGAAAUUCAGCCCGAUCGACCAACUAUUGAUGAGAGGUCUUUAAAGAUUGUAGUCUUCUUCGCUUCAUAGUGAAGAAAUGCAUAGUCGGGGACCGAAUCACCGGCUAUUUGGUUCGGCUUUCAGAUCUCAAGUUUUGGUUCUCAUGCUAGCCAUGUUGACACCAUGGCAUGGAUUUACGUUGUCAGCCGGUGAGUUCUGGCACUGUUUCAUGUUGUGAAUUGAUUUUCGUUUCUUAGCUGUAAUAGUGCUUUAUGGUGUGGUUAAUUUCAUUGAUUUAGGUUUUUGUUUUGUGAUGCUUUGAUUUUGAUUAUAAUUGGUCUAUUUGUUUCAAAAAAAAGAAAAUGUUUUUAUGGAAAUCUGUUUUCGGUAGGCUACGGCUGGAUUAUGAGAAUGGGGCUUAUUUGAUUAAAGGCUGGAUAGGAGAACUAGUCAGGUAUGUUUUUUUAUCUUUACUUUUAUGUAUUACCAUUUGUUAUUCAAUUGUAGCUUCAAAUUUUCUUCCCCACAGUUUGUUAAUGCAUUUUUUGGGACUAUUUUGUUAUCGAGAUUAAAUUAUAGAAUUAUAAUGAUACAAAGGGGGUCUUGACAUUGUAUGGAACCAGAAUCAGUCCAUCAUGGUUUAAAUUAAUUAUACGUUCUAUAGCAUUACAUUACAAUGCCAAAUAAAUUAGUGAUUUGCAUGAGCUCAUGCCUUUUUCUUUCUUUCUUUCUGUUUUUGUCUUUUUUUUUUCUUUUAUUGAAACUAUUUGAGAUGAUACCAGCCUUUUUUUAAAAAAAAAUUAAUCAUUCGGAGUAAUUGACUAGAUAAUGGGUUUUUCCAUUUUAAUGGUUUUUGCGUGCAAUCAGCCAAUGACACACUGAAAAUUAUAGCAUGCAAGUAAAUAACUUAUACCUAUCCUUCCUUUAUGUGGGGUUCUUUUUUUGGGGCUUUUGUUAUAAUAGACAAAAUAUAAUCUAAAGGUCAUGGUGAUGGUUCUUUUAUUUUAUAGGAAACAACACAAGAAGUUAGCAGCCCUUGAGAUGGAGCUAGCGGCAGCACAGCAGGAAGAUUUUGCCUCAAAGAACUUGUUAGAAAAUAAGGGGACUCCUCCCAAGAAAAGGCUUUUAGCUGUUGUUGGAAUUAUUACAAAGUUUAGCCACAAGAACAAUAGAGAUGCAAUCUGUAAGGGCAUGGAUGCCAACUGGUAGAAUGCCCUUCUUUUUAUAAGUUUCGCUCUUUAUUCUUUGUAUGAUUUACAUAGAGAAUGACCCAGUUGGCACUUAACACAUUGACAUUUCUGUUAUAAGCAUAUAAGGGAUAAAAAUAGGAGGCUCGUAGGCUGAACUCUUAUUAACAUGAAACCUUUUAGUGAACUUCCAUUUCUCAUCUAUUCUUUUUUCAUUGUCUUGUUUAUUUUCUCAGUUUGCAAUGGUCAUUUUCAAUAGUUUGCAAACUCCAUCAACCAAUUUGAAAAGCCUUGGAGCUAACAAGUACAAAUUAUGAGAAACUAAAAUCUUGUUUCUCUAGGAUUUUUCUAAAGUUGCUCAAAUGAAUGGAAAGCAGAAAACUAUCAAGAGGCCCUACCGCUGCCUUGCACCCUCUAUACCCCUAUUUACAAAAAAUUGGAGUUUGUCUUUAAUGUAAUAAAGGAGACAAUAGUUUGCAUAAUAAUGGAACAUGAAGUAAUAUUGUGAUUCACUACUGCAAAAAGUAAUAUUGACAUAACUUAUGUGCUCAAUUACACUUACAUGCUUAGCACAAAAGUAUGUUAUUCUUCAUUUGAGAAUAUUACUUUAAACCUUAUAUGUUAGCAUCACUUUUUCCAUAACUAAUCUUUCUUUCUUUCUCCUUAUCCAAGACAAUGCAUAUCGAGUGAUUGAUACUUAAGUUAAUAGCCUUAGCACCCACAUGAGGUGAAGUUUGAAUCCAGAAUUUCCUAAUAGUCUUAAUACGCUUCCUCAAGCGUGUUCAAACUUAAGACAUCAAUGUUAAACCACCACUUUACCCAAAACUUUUAAGUUACGCAGUAAUAGGCCAGCAAUGGGAUAUUAAGGCGACUGACAGGUAGGUUAAUAGCUUGAGCAAUUCUCUUAUAAUGUUUAAUGGUUUAAAUGUUGACAAUUAAAACACUUACAAAAGCAUGAUGACUUACCCAUCGUUUUCAUACAGAUACUCUGAAGCAACUCUUGCUACUCAUUUGAAUAAGCCUCGAGUUUAUAUUGGGUGUAUGAAAUCAGGCAAAGUUUUCUCAAAAGUUGUGAGUAUAAUCAAAGUUUUUUUUUCUCUAAUGAUGAGAAAACGAGUUGUUUAUGAUAUUCUACUUUCAUAUAUUGUAUUAUCUUUUCAUAUUGUCUGAAUUAUGUGAGAUCCACAAGUGGUAAGAACCAGAUUGGUAGAAAUUUGGUGAUGGAAAAUCAUGAGUACUUUUGUGUUGAUUUCAUCUGGUCUCUUAUAUUAGGAUAAGUAAUUAUUACUUUCUAGUUCUGUUAACUAGUCAAGAAGUCUCUUAGCAUCUCUGAAUUCAUCUGAUAAGUGAUAGAAGUCCCAAUGAACAACUAGGGCAUUGUCCCAUAAGAGGCUUGCUUGAUAGGGAGAAGUUUUUUAGGCAUUUAAACAAUUUAUCAUUCCAUCAUAUUCUUGUCAUCAAUUACACUUAAUUUGCCUACCCUUGCACCCAUAUUUUAACCAUCUCAACUCUAAUUUGUGUCAAGGUAUCCUAGAGUCUACAUAGGGAUGCCUUCUCGGGAAGUCAAGCUUACAUUGGUUGAAGAUACAUUUAGCAAAUUUAUAUGCUAGAGUGGACAAGUUAUCAUAUGAGGGUUAGGUAGCAUUUACUGAGAAUCAUUUGGAAGAUAUCUUUGAGUCCGCAGAUAAACCUCUGGAAGGAAGACAUUGGUGAUUGUUUGUCGGGGAUCCUUUUCAAUGCUUGUCAGCGUGUAUUAAUCUAUCAGAUGCAUUAAGAAGCUCCCCUCCAGAGACUACCAUUUCACACAUGCCUGUCCACCAGGUACUUCAUUCUUAGCAUGGUCACAUUCAAACUGAGAAAUGUUUACCAAGUGAAAUCAAAUUAAUCCCACUUCCUUCCUAGUCCACCCAACCCCACAAUAAAAAAGAAAUCUCAAAACUAGCUUUUAUUGGAAUUGUGUUCUAUGCAUAGGCAUAUCAUUUGUUGCCCUGUGUAUUUUGUAUAAACUCCUCCAAGCAUAUAGAUCCUCUGCAUUUACACAUGGAAAAUGACAGUCACAUGAUUGUACAUAUCCUUCAGAGUACCCCAUUUGUUACCUCAUUAUUAGGAGCAAAAAUAAUGGAUCGACCACUUCUUUCAUAGCCCUGUCUUCUGUUUGUGCUAUCCCACUAUAGUACACUUGAGAGGAUAAUAGACAUUUCCCUGACUUUACUUUUGUUUUCAUAUUAAAUGCUUAGAUUCAGGUCAUUUGUUUAUCCAAAACUUAAUCUAUGAUUGUAUUGUUCUAUCUUUUUCAAGGAUGGCUCUUGCAAUGGCUUACAACACCAUGCUGCCCUUGGAAGGGACAAGGUAGUGGAAUUUUCUGUUUUUGGUUGAUUGUUGUGGAAUUCUGAUUAUAUGAUAUGGAAGCAUGGUUUUUGAUUAGUUAGACAGUUUUUCACUCUUUUUCUGCUUUGAGGCUAAAUGUGUCUCACCUUUGAUCUUCUCUCUCUUUGAUAGAAAAAAGGAACUUUGUUAAGGAAAGAUGGUAAAAGGAUAAGGAGUUGGAAAUUGAAACCCAAGAAAGAAACCAAACUUUGUUUAAGUUUAGUGCAGUUUAUUUAAUUUGAUUUUUCAAGUAAUUUCAAAGUUUGGUUGUUUCCAGAAAGGGGAUUAUCAUCGGUAUUUGACGAGUUCAAAGGCUAGGGCAGCAAAUCAGUCUCUAAAGAGUGAAUUUUAGUUAGACCUUAGUAUUGGAGGAGAUAAAUUUUUAUUUAUUUAUUGAAGUUCCUUGUUCUUUGGCAAUAGAACUUUGUAUUGGGGAUUAUUAUUUGAUUAUGCAGUUUGGAUACAUAUACAUAUUUGGAUUAUGCAAUAUUGGAAAUUAUAAUUUUGUUGCUUCAACUAAAGUUUUAUAUAGGGAAUAGAAAAUAUAUACGGGAAAAAGUGGUAUGACCUCUUCAAUAUUGAAAUGAGAAUUUUAAUUAAAAUAUUUGAAAAAAGAAAUCAAGACUUCAGUUGUGGGCAAACAUAAGCUGUGUCCACAUAAUAAUCUAUGGCAGCGAACAAGCAAAAGUGGCAUCCAUAUGAAGCCCUAUAAUUGCGGCUGACAAAAGGUCAUGUCUAUAACAAAGCUCUCCCAAUCACAUAUAGAGCUUUUAGUUGAGGAAACAACAUGAGCGAAGGGAUAGCUUCACAACUUCUUGUGUUUUUUACUGGUGGCUGCAACUAUAGGAUUUAUCUGCAUGCCUAUGGCCUUCGCAGUUAUGAACUUAACUUCUUGUAGUGUGUAACACUUUCGCCUCGUGUAUGAUUGCAUGAACUUGCAACACAUGUACUGCACAACUCUUUGUUAAUGGUUAUAAAAAAUAGUUUUCUAUUUUUGAGAAUUGAAAAUAAGAAAAUCUUGUUUGACAAUAAGAAAAUAGUAAACAUUUUUUUUAUUUUUAAAAACAGAAAAGUUUUUGUUCUUAAAAAAAAUGUUUUAUGAGAACAUAUAUUAGUUGUUUUUAAUUGUUUUCUAGGAUUAUUUUAAAAUAAUAAUAAUAAGAUUUAUAUGAAGAAUAAUUAAAAAUAAAAUGCUACAAACCGAAACUUAUUUUUUUUGAAAAAUAUUUAAAUGUAAAAAAUAGGUUAAAAAUAUUUCAAAUUCUCAAACAAGCUUUAUUUUAUUUUUUUUAGAAUGGUUUUCAAAAUCAUUUUCUAACUAAUUUAAAGUAUAUUUGAUAGUGAUUUUAGAAAGCGUUUUUAAUUUUUUUAAUACUUGAAAGAUAAAAAAUUUUAAGUGUUAAAAAGAUUAGAAACCUUCCUAAAAUCACUAUUAAAUAGACUCUAAUUCUCCCUUUUAGAGGCUUGUAAGGGCUUUUAUAAUUUGCUUACCAAUCAUGUUAGACAUGUGGUAACCAUGUUAUGAGAUUUUGGGUUAGCAUCGGCUAGUUUGUACUUGUAUGUACUUAAUUUUUGUUUUUAAAAAUAAAAAAUGAAACUAACGUCGAUAUAAAAUAUAAAAACUUUUAGAAACUUACGUUACUUCAAAUUUCAAAUUUUUUUAUAGUGAAUUUUAAGAUAUAAGGUGAGUUUAUACUUUUGAUAUAAAAAUUUCUAUUUUUUAUAUAAAAAAAUAUUAUUAUUUUUUUGUGUAAAAAAAAGUCAAUAUAUAAAUAAUGAAAGUUGAAAGAACAUUUUUAAUGCAUAGAUUAUCUCAAGGGUUCAAAUGUGGGCUAAGUCUAAAACUUAAUAUUAAAUCUUCUCUCAUUCAAAUAAUAGUAUUUAUAAAUAAUAGAAUAUCCUAAAUAAAUAUAGUUAUGGACAAAUAUUUCAAACAGAUUUCUCAAAUAUUAGUAUCAAAAGAAAAUUUCAUUAACCAUGACGAGCUCCCUGUUUCAAUCUAAAACAUGUAAAUAAACAUAAUUAAUUUUAAUUUAAACAAGAUUUAGAUUUAUAUUAUGGACAAUAUAGUAAACCUAAAAAAUGAUCAUAAGUUUCUUAGUUCAUGACUUCGACUAAUAGAAAAAAUAUUUAUAAGCUCAAUUUUGUUGGAAUUUUAUUCAAUUCAUUCUAGUUUGAGAUUUUGUAUAUUUUCCUGUAACUUACCCUCCAUUAAAGAUACAAAAUUAUUUAAAGUUAACUAGAGAUCGGAUAGCACAAGUACACAGAGUUAUGAAAAGAAUAAUAACUUUUAAUUGAAAAAGAUUUAGGUGAUCGAGUGCUCAAGCACUUGAAUCUAGCUUUCAUGGUUUAGAGCACUCAAGUAUUGCUAGGAAGUACCCAAUAGCAAGCAAUCAAGUGCACUUACCGUGUGCUUGAGUACUCAAAAGUGGGGUUUCCAAAAAAUAAGUUUGCAUACAACACUCCUUGAGAAAAACAAUGAUCACAUACAUGUAUAUGAUCCAUGGUUUAAGUAAAACAUUUCUUAUAUUUAUAAUAAAUUUAUUUUAGAAUGUUGUUAUUAUAUUAUACCAAUGUAGUUAGGUCAUAUUUUGCUGAAUCAAAUGAAGAGAAAAUACAUUAUUUGACAAAUAUUUUACAAUUAAAUGCAAGGUUUGAAAUAUCAAUAAAUACAAAUAUAUCAGUACUUAGAUUUUACGGAUAUAUCGAAAAUAUUGAAUAAAUAUCGGUGAACAUUUUGACAAAAAUAUAAAUCUUGUUUUAAAAUUCAUGAAAAUACUUAAAAAAAACUUUCAAAAAAAAUGAUAAAAUAAAGAAUAAUAUAUAUUAAAGUUAUUUUGUAUGCUUAAAUUCUUUUAAUAUAUUCGUAUUUAUUUAUUUUUAAAUUUUAAAAGUACUUUUAUUGAAAGAUGUUUUAUUACAUUUUUAAUAAAAAAUUAAAUUGAUUUAUAUAAAAUAUUCAAAACCAUUACCCGAUAAAGACGCCUUUUGUGUGGGGAAGUAUUCAUUGCCAUCCAUGCAAAUCAAACCCACCUUUGAUCUUUAUUCACAAUUUCAUAUAUCAUAUAUAUGUCUACAAAAAUUAUAUAUGUUUAUAUAUAUAUAUAUAUAUGGGUUUGUACAUGUGGAUGUGUGAAUGAAAAGUUGGAAAAUAGUCUCUAUUGUUCUUUAUCGAAGAACGAUAGCUAGGGUUUCUAUUCGUCUCUCAUUCUCUGUAUUGUUUUGUUUCUCUUUCUUGGGGACUUACCUUUGUUUGUGAAUCGGAACCUAUGCUCAAUCAGCUUAAGAAUUACCCAGUAGUUUGUUUGCAUCAGGGGGUGUUUGGGUGGGAGAGUCUUAAGGUUUGUGAUUUGGGGGGUUUUGGUGUUGUGGGAGCUGAUUGGUGUCUGGGUUGGGAGGAAUCUAGGGUUUGUGAUAUGGGGUUUUGGUGUGGUUGAGGUGGGGAGGGAAAGAUUGAAUCUUGGGGAUUGUUUUUGUUGGUGGGGUUUUGAAGAUAGUGGAGAAUCGUGGAUCGGGUGCCGUCUAAUCGCCACUUUUCCGGUGGCGAGCAACCGUCCGAUUGGAGAGGUGGGGGCUUUUGUAUGGAAACUCGGAGCCCCAAGCGGGCGGAGGCGUCCUCAGCAGCCCGUUCUUCUGGACCGACCACCCGGUCGAGCAAGCGAUCUCGUAUCUCCUCUUCUUCUUCAAUGAUCCCAAUUUCAUCGAACCCCAACGCCCAUGCUACAGUGAAAAUUUAAUUUUGAGGGGAGAGGAGCUACACUUUGACCGAAACCAGCGUUGACCGACAAAAAUAUCGGGAAAUUUCCCAACAAAUAGGCAAAAACCGAUAUUUCGACGAUAAUUUAAAAAAAAUAGCGAAAUUCCUUCCAAUCGAUUAUCCGUCCUCAAUAUCGUAUCGAGCUUCACCAAUAACCGAAAUAUCGGGGAAAUUUCGCCGAUAAAAAAGACAUUUCAAUCACUGAUUAGAGGUGAUGAACACUGAUGUUAGUAAUUAGGUUUGCCAUAUUUUUCAAUAAUGUACAAUUAGCUUAAUUAGUUGAAGCUUAUACCAAAAAUAUAUUUGAAUCAAUAAUGGACAAAAAUUUCUGACUGGUACUUAGUGAUAAUCAACUACCAAAUUAUCAUAAACAUAGAAGUUGAAAGGAUAAUUUUAAGGCACAGAUGACUCUAAAAUAUCAAAACUAGGCUGAGGUGGUGUUUGUUUUUUUACUUAAUUCUAAAUAAAACUUCAAUACUUAAUAGUGUUAAAUAUUAGGUUGUUUGUUUUUGUAGUAUUUUAUUUCUAUUAAGUAUUAAAAAGUAAAGAAAAAUCAAUAUGUUAUUUUUUCCGUUUAGAAAAAGCUACAUAUUUUGGUUUUUUCUAUUUAGUAAAAAGUCUAUAAUAAGUCAAGAAAAAGUAGAAAAACAAACAACCUAAAUUCUGAAAACAAAGUGCUUUCAGCAAAAAACUAAAAAAACAAACACCAUCUGAGUAUCCAACUUAAUAUUACAACUUUUCUUACUUAAAUGACAAUUUGCAAAUAACAAACCUACCUAAAGAAAAAUAAUUGCUUGCCAACAUUUCAAAGAUAAGUUCUCAAACACUCGUGCCAAAGAAAUCUUCAUUACCACUAAGAAUUCAUCAUUGUAUUCAAUCUGAAACAAGUAAAUACACAUAAUUAGCUUCAAUUUAAGCAACAUUUAGAUUUUCAUCAUGGAAUAUAAAUAGCAUGUUCAUUAUUAUUAUUAUUAUUAUUAUUAUAUAAUUAAUUAAUUAACAACAUAAUAUUAACAAACUUGGUUAUAGAGACUAUUUAAAUUCUUAUAGUUUUCAUACUUAUGGUAUUAACCAUACUCAAAUGAGUAUAUUUGUCAAUAAAUUUAGAGUUUCAACUAACAACCUAUAACAAUCUAUAACCUUAGCUGCUUGUUUGUAUAUUUUUUGGAAUUCAACCUUGGAAAAAAUUUCAUGUAUCUUAAUCUUUCCUAUGAAAAUCGCAUUCUGUAACUUCAAAGAGUUGAACCCAAUUAUAAACUUCCUCAAUCCUCUUUCUAAUGACUCAAACUAAGAAAUUGAUUACCCUAUGCAUUGUAUUUAGGAACUUAAUUGUAGUAAGGAAAGAGAAACAACUUAUAUUCAUAUGCAUGGUUGAAGGGUCUAAAAAUAUGCCCCUUACUAUAACAUGCUUUGAACAUUUAAAGCAAUAUACUUUUAGUAAAAUCUAAGUCCAACAAGACUACAAUUCAAUUUCUUUUGUAAAUUUAAAUCAUUAUUUCCAAUUCAAAAUUUUAAGAAAUCAUAUAAUAAAAUAUAAGUAUAAAAAGAUUAAUAGCUAACAAAUAUGUACCUAAACGGAGAUGACCUUACAUUACAUUGUAAUGAAAUUCAUCUUACCUUCAUUUUGUAUGAUGUUUGUUAUUUUGAAACCUUAUCACCCUCUGCAAAAGAGCUGAAUUCAUUGUGAUGAUAAUCAUAACACACCAAAAAUACAAUGAAAUUAAAAAACAAACAAGGAAGAAAAAAAGAAGGAAAAAGAAUGGGAAGUGAUGUAAGAUAUUUCACCUUUUUAGCCAUGAACUCCAUUUGCUUCCAUCUUCCUUUUCAGACGAGCCACAUUCACUGCAGUGAAGACAUAUAGCCUAUCUCUGGUUUCAUCAAUGAACCGGAAAUAUGCCUGCCUCUAAGACUUCUUUAGAACCAAACUGCCACAUACAACCCAAAAUCCCACCGGAAACCCCAAUCCCAUGCUUAUGAAGAACCAUGACAUGUCCCAUUCAUCUUCAUCUUCCUCCUCAUCUUUGUGAUCUUGAUCAUUUAAAGUGGAGCAGUUGGUUGACAAUGGAGGCCCACAAAGUCUGAGGUUCGCCUCAUAAAUGGAUGGAUCGUUGAAUGUCGAGAACUGGUUGGUUUUUGGAAUUGGUCCUGACAGGCGGUUAUGCGAUAGGUUCAAAUGGUUCAAUGAGGUUAUAGAAGACAUGCUCGGAGGAAUUGGGCCUGAAAGGCAGUUGCAUGAGAGGUCAAGAGUUUCUAGCCCUUGCAUGGCUCCAAUCUUCUCAGGUAUCUUUCCAGUCAACUGGUUUCGGGACAAAUUCAAGGUACCCAGGGUCGAGAGAUUUGUGAUCUCUUUUGGGAUCUCUCCCCAAAUGUUAUUGCUAGAAAGAUCUAUCAAAUUCACAAUUGGCAAUAUGCUAUCAAAUUCCAUAUUUUGUCCCUUUACAACUAGCUCCAUGCGCUCCGAAUAGGCGACAUGACCAUUGGGGUCGUCAAAAUUUCUGUCUAAUAAGGUCACAAAACUUAAAGCAGUUAAAUUGCCUAAGCAUUGUGGGAUGGAUCCUGAUAAAUUGUUCACUGCAAGAUCCAAAAUGUGGAGAUGAGAAAGCCAACACAAUUGCUCAGGAAUAUCUCCUGUCAACAUGUUGCCCCGUAGACGCAGCUGCUCCAGUGAUGGCAUUCUUUCUCCAAUCCAUUUGGGUAUCUCCCCCGAAAACCUGUUAUUUCCAAGAUCAAGGGAGUACAACCCUGUGUAGUUUCGUAAGCUUGGAAAGGGUUCCCCAGAAAGAUUGUUGUCACCCAAUAUCAACUGAGUAAGUGAAGAUUUUGAACACAUCCAACUCGGAAUCCCACCAGACAUUUUGUUCUUGGAUAGAUCUACAGUGUCAAGCCAUGGCAAAUCAUUCCAAUUCUUUGGAAUCUUUCCAGAUAAAUGAUUGUUUGAGAGAUUAAUUACUCCCAAAUACUUCAGUUUACUAAUUGAUGAAGGAAUGCUGCCAUUUAACAAGUUACAAGAAACAUCAAGGAUUUCCAAGCUUGAUAAUUCCCCGAUGUUUAAGGGAAUUGGACCAGAAAAUGAAUUGUUUCCCAGAUACAAAGAUCCCACAUUAAGUCGAAGUGGGAGUGGGCCCCCCAAGUGGUUGAAACUUAAAUCCACCAAUGCGCCUUGGCUGAAGGAUAAUGAGUUGGGAAGCGUUCCAUACAAUUGGUUUCUAGAAAGAUCUAACCACGAAAAAUCUUGUUUCCAAAGCCAUUCGGGUAUUGCAUCUGAAAUCCCCACAUUUUUUAGAAUCAUAAAUCCAAGUCUCUUUUGAGUUCUAAGCCAGUUGGGGAACUUGAGAGAUACAUGGAAGUUGUAAACCUCGAUAGAUUCGAGACUGAAGGGAGGAAUCCAUUCAGGUCUCAAAUGAAAACGGAGAGACUGGUUUUUGGGUGAUACGAGUAAUGAGAAUUUUUCCAGUUUAGUAAGAUUACUAAAAUGAAUUUCAGAUAUUACCCCUUCCCAAGAAUUCCAAUCAAGAUACAACUCAGUCAGCUCUCUAAGUUGUCCGAUACUUUUUGGAAUAGUCCCAUUCAUUAGAUUGUUUGACAAGUCAAGUCUCUUCAUCCGCCGCAAGUUUCCAAUCCAUGUUGGAAUUGGACCUGAGAUGAAGUUUUCAAUCAGAUAAAGAAUCUCUAAGUUGGUAAGGUGUUGAAUUGAAUUGGGGAAGGGACCAACAAAACUAUUGUUCAUCAAGUUCAGGUACUUUAAAUUCUUAAAGAGCCCUAAUGAAUCUGGCAACUGACCACCGAAUUGAUUAUAACCCAAGUUUAACCAUUCCAAGGAAUUAUUAGUGCAUGUUGAUAAACCAUUCACCAAUUCAAUUGCUUCACUUCCAAUAUAAUUGAAUGAGAGAUCUAAGGUCACCAAGUUGCGAAGGCUUCCCAAGUUAACACGGGGAAUCGGACCUUUAAUUGUAGCACCAUUUAAAUAAAGAUCCAUAAGGGUACUGAUAUUAAACAACCAGCCAGGCAAAGUAGUGUUGAAAUUGUUGUAGGAGAGAUCAAUGACCGAAACAGAAGUCAAAUUAACAAACGGAUUGGAGUACUGAGGGAAGUGACUGAGAUGACAACCGGACAAAUGUAAUUCUAACAAAAAUGGAAGCAUGUUUACAGCUUGCAUCCAAUUUGUGGUUGCUUUACUAAGGUCCACAUACGCCAGAUCAAGGUAUUUUAAAGAAGAAAGACCAGAAAGCCAAUUUAAAUUAGAAACCCUCAUUGGAUAAUCUCCUCCCAAAAGAUCAAGAUAACGUAACUGUGAUAAAUUUCCAAGAUGAGGAGGAAUCAUCCCACCAAAUCGUGCAUUAGAGAGAUUAAGGUAUCUCAACCUUUCAAAUGAGCCCAAGAAAUUUGGAAUUGGAAUUCCUUGAAAAUCAUUAAGACUUAGGUCCAGGUAAGUUAAAUGUUUCAAGUCAAGUAAGGAACCACUUAUCUCACCACCCAAACGUGAGAAGCCACCACCCAAACGUGAGAAGCCACCACCAGAUUUGAGGUCAACCUUGACAACAUGCCCUGUUUGGUUGUUGCAAUCCACACCUUUCCACUUGCAGCAAUCUGCACCAACCCAGGAAGAAAGCCUACCUGAAGGAUCUUUCAGUCCAUUUUUGAAUUCAAGAAGCGCUUUCCGCUCUACCUCAAUGC